Molecule: long non-coding RNA, 45111 nt
Filed under: Citrus sinensis (sweet orange)
Lineage: Eukaryota; Viridiplantae; Streptophyta; Magnoliopsida; Sapindales; Rutaceae
Description: long non-coding RNA (CSIN_LNC001260)
Source: RNAcentral
UCUCUAACUUCUAAUUCUAUGGCCAGCCGCCUCAUCUCUCUGGCAAGAUCCUUCUUCUUCUUCGUACCUCUAAAAAUUCUCCCCUUCGAGCCCUAAAAUUCAAGGGUCCAUGCCAUGGGAAAUCCUAACAACAUUGCUCAAAUUCUAAGACCCAUACCAUACGAAACCCUAACGAGCUACAUGAGGUUGCGAAACAUCCACCAUGCCACUAUGCCACAAGCUCAGAAGAUCCUCUUUAGAUCUCCACAUUUUGCUCACCCUACUCAAGUGCGCACCGCCCCUCUCGCUUCGACUUCUCUGGAUUUCUUGUUAGCUGAACUUUUGUUUUCUUCUGCUAAUUUGAUCUUCGACUGCCGUAUGGUUAGAUCGGUUCGCUUGGACUCCAUCAUGAUGGACAAAUCAUGUGCGAGGCCUAAGACACUGUUGUUAAAGGUCGAAUCACUAUUUUAGCCUCAAUUGAGAUUUUAAUUUGUUUAUCUAAUUGGAAAAUUAAUGCUUUGAAUUGUAUUGUGUUAAUUUCUUUGGAUAUGCUUAACUGAAUUAUUGCAUACUCAACUAAAUUAAAGGUUAGAUCAUCAUUUCUUAGUUCAAUCUGUAGUUUUAUUUUUUAAUUUUUAGGUGGUAGUUUGCUGAUGUAUUAACUUUAUACUUGUAUGAAGGUAAAUAGAAUUGCAUUGGCUAGGACUCACAGAACAUGUAAUUAAUCACUGUAAAUUGAUUCUUAAGCUAGUUUCCUGAAGGCACUAACAUUGGGUAAAGGUUUUUCAUGUUUAGAUAAUUUCAUUCAAAUUGGAUUAAUAUACCCUAGCGUAGCUAGUUCCUGUGCGACUUAUUGACACGAAAGGACAAUUUAAUUCAAAGUGAACUAAUUAAGCAAGCUUUUAGUUUAUAUAUAUAUAUGAACAGAGAAACAAACAAAUUUUAGCAAAUCAUUUACAUUAUACAUUUGAAGAAGUGGUUUUAACAUGAUGCACCUUUUUAACAAGUUGUACUAUUCUAAUUUCUUCUGCAUUACCAUUAGAAAUAUAACGCACAUGUAUAAAUCAACCUUAAGUAUUAGUCCUGUUCAGGUACAGAUGUCUAGAUUUAGGCUAUUAUAUAUUAGAGUUUUACAACUUUGAUUGUAGUUCGAACCGAGAUUUUAUGAACUCUGAACGUCUGGACUUGAGCAUCAAAUCUAGAUUUUGAUCACCAGCAAUGAAUAUUUCUGAUUCGUAACGCUUUGACUGCACUUUGAAGAGUUCUCGAUCUUCCAUGCAUGCUUAUAAAUGGAAGCAGUUGUGAAUCUCAUCAUGAAAGGCACUCUCCUUUGCCUUUAUUCCUUUCUUAGCAAAGACUUCAGCUAUAAAAACACGAGUGUGUCCUUCAAGAUAUCCAUUCGAAGCAUCGUUAAAAAUCAAGAACUUGUCUCUUUUUUUAUCAAGCACAAAUAAAAAUCUAAUAUCUAAUUCACUGUUGUGGACUGUUAUGACCAUUGAUAUUCACUAAAUUAAUUAUCUUAUUUUGCAGUAACAUAUUUUUGUGAAACGUAACUAAGUAGUACUUUAGCUACUGAUCCUUUUUUUAGUUUAGAAACUACCUCUUUCGAAUUCUUAAAUGUCCAUAAAUGAUAUUCCUUUUAUGUAAUAUUAAUUUCUUGCCCUAUUGUACUAAAUUUAUCUUAUCAAUACUUCUCUUUAAUUAAAAACUAAGAGUUUUUGUCACCAUCUCACUUGGUAAUAUUUGAUAGAUGUGAUUUUAUUUCAGGAUUAAGAUUGUCAGAGAUUUCCUUCCAGGAUUAAGAAUUAUGUCAAUGAACAAACGUGAUCGCAUAAGUAAUUAAGCAAAAAAUCAAUGAAUUUCUUUAUUUUGUGAGAAACAAAGAAGAAUACUUAUUAUUACAAUGCCUCGGAGAUUCUGAGCACAGUGAUCUCAGCUUCCACAACGCGAACGUCGUUCACAAGGUACCCAUUCUCUGGGUCAUUUAACUUACUCAAUGAAACGAAUCUCGACCAACCCCACUUAUUAUCGCCUGGUGCAUGGAACCUUUCUCUGCCUCCUAGAGAAAAAGAAUCAUUCUCAUUAUACACAUUAUUUGAAUUCUAUAGCCUCAAAUUAAGUUUAUUAUUAUUAUUUUGGGUUAAAGGUACUUUCAAAAUCAAAAGUUAAAGAAAACUGCUUGAAAAUCACUCAGUCAAGCUGCCAGUAGCAACUAAAUUAGUUGCGUAUUAGAACAAGCAAUGUGCCUUAAGAAGAUUCAUGCAUUGCCCGAACUUGAUCUAAGAUUCGAAAUGUAAACUUUGCGUAUACUUUAACAGUACUCCGAACUGUGGAAUCUUCAAAAACCAAGAACAAGGAAAGACAAUCGCCAGCAUUGGGCCCAGUUCCCAUGGGUGUAGCUCUGUCUUCCUGAAAACACCGAAAUGGUAUUUUAUUAAUUGUACACUGUUGGGUCAUAAACUUGAUCCAAGAUGAAUAAAUUCAAGCCCAACUCAUGGAAGGUUGGUGAGGUUUAAAUUAUUUGUGUUAGGUGUGGUAGGUGUGGUUGGUGAAGUAGGUGAGUGAUAGGUUUGAAUGGAUUGUGAGGAUUUGUUUAUUAAUUGAAUAAAUGAAUGGUUGUGAUUAGUUUGUUUCAUGUAUAAAUAUCAUCUCUCCUCUUUGGUUUAAGUAUCAAGUGAAGUAACAAAAUUUCUAAGUUGUAGAAAGUGAAAAAUAAGAGUUGUAAUUGGUGAUGAGUAUUGUUGAAGAAAUAAAAUAGUGUGUUUUUUUAGUGUUAUAUGUGUUAAGUCUCCAACAUACACUCACUGACAACUUUGUCCCAAGAACUCAUUAUUUAUUAUACCUGUAGAAAUUAAAAAAAAAACUUAAAAUCUUUGAUACCAUUUGUGAUUUCCAGCAUCGAAAACUUGUGAUUCCUCGUAUCCUGCGUCUAAGUUCUCGAUCUUCCAAACACACUUACAACUAAUUGAAAUUUCUUUUAUAGAUUGGCACUCUCUUUUGAAUUUGUUUCUUUCUUUAACAAGGACUUCAGCUUCAAAAACACACGUAUCUUCGACAAGGUAUCCAUUCGAAGCAUCAUUGAAAGCUCUAAGCGGGAUAAAUUUAUCAAAAUUAACCCCAUACAUGCUUCAGUCCAUUAAACCGUCUUUCCUUUCCCAUGAUAUCUAUCACAUUACAAGCAACCACUCAUUAUGCAUGCAUUCAAUUUUUUUUCCUAAUGUUGCAAUAUACAAUUCUGCACACUAAAUUUGAUUUAACCUUGAACUACACAGUAGUUUUCUUGGUUCUGAUCAAGUAAGAACAGACGAAAAACUGCCGAGACUUCCCAAUCCAAAGUAAAUGAACUUGUGUUAUUAAGGAAAAGAAUAUAUAUAUAUAUAUAUAUGUACCACUUGUAUCCUCCAACUUCAAAUUCUCCUGAUUCAUAUUCCUCUUCUGCUUUUUCUGCAAGUAAUGAUAAUGAUUUUAUUUUGACGAUGAAAUGAGCCGGUGGUAGUGAAGUGUAUCUUGCAAUGGCUAUACAUUUAAGUAAUUUUUAAUUAAUGCCGAUUGAUUAGAAAUAACAAUAAGCUGAAAUUUUUAAGAAUAUUGUCCUCUAGAGAACGUGAGAAAAGGUUGAACAUACAUACCAUCUUUGUUAACAAAGAUAUUUUCCAUUGCGAAAAGUUCUCCAAAAAGUUGUUGAAUUUUUAUUUUUAUUUUUGGUAACUUGGACAGCACGAAGUCGUUUUAAAUAAAAGAAAAAUAAAAAAACUGGGAGGAGGUACUGAGUUUCAUCUCUCAGAAAACUCAUAGAAUCUAGAACAUAAAAAUGUGAUGCUUGAAAAUACAAUGAAUAAACAUGAUUUAAGCAAAUAUACAAUGAAUCUUCAUUAAUUACUACAUUAGGGGAUAAAUAAAAAAAUUUAAUAAAAAGCCUAAUGAUUGGACUGUUUAUAUCCUACUUUCUAAUUGACCAAACUCGAAAAUAUAAACUCAAUCGAAAUUUUCUUUGGUUUGUACUAAUCUUCGUUACAGCGCUUAGAAAAUUCUAAGCUCAUGUAGCGAUUGUUCAUUUCACAGAUUAUUUUGUGGGGAGAAAUUUCUUGAUUGUUAAUAAUUAAACAUAACAAAUAUAUAGAUAUUAAUUGCAUGUAUAAUAAUGUGCAAGUAUUAAAAUGUACUUCAAAGCUUAAAGCGAAAGUAAGAGUUUGUUUGAAAUUGAAGUGUUGUAACUUUUAAGGUACAACUAUUGUAGAAAAAAAUUAUAAUUAUGAAAUAAAAGUUAAUAGUGUAUUGUAAAAAUAAUUUUUAAUAAUAAUUUUGACAAAAUUAUUAAAGAUAUAAUAGAUUUUUCAUCAGAAAAAACCUCUUUUCAUCCCUAAAGUUUCAUGUAAUAACUCAUUUCAUCCUUACUUUUUAAAUAAUAGCCCAAAACAUCCUUCCGCUAACCACUGUUAGUUUAAUGCCGUUAACUAGUAAUUCAUUUAAAUUGGUAAAAUAUGAUUAUUAUUAAAAUGUUUCAAACUAUAUUAAAAUAUUUUUUUUAUACAAUUAAGUAACACUACAAAAUAUGCAAAAUUUAUUAAUUUUUUCUUAAAUGAAAUCAACGAUGAAGUAAUUUGAUAUAACCACUUAAUAGUUUCCAUAAGCAACAAAUUGUAAUUAGCACAAUAUCUUUAAAUAAUUAGAAGAAAAAGUAAAAAAUACAACCAAAUUUUAUGUGCUGAAAAUUUUCUUAAUCUUCAACCAAUUUUUAUUUUGAACUUGGCCACCACUCUUCUUCGACCAUUAUUGUCUUCCCAAGUCCUUACCACUAUCUUUUUUGGUAUUUAUUGUUUAGUGGGAUUAGAUAAACAUUAUUUUUAGUUAUAUGUCAACUUUUAUUUUUUUUUUAAUUUUCUCUUUAAUAGAAAAUCUUUUUUUACCCUCAAUGAAUAACUAACAAACAACGUUUAACUAACAGUGAGUUAAUAAAAUGAUGUUUUGAGUUAUUGUUUAAAAAGUAGGGAUGAAAUGAGGUAUUACAUGAAACUCUAGGGAUGACAGAGGAUUUUUUCCUUUUUCAUCAUACAAGUGAAAAAUCAUAUUAAGAUAGCUUUUAAGCUAUAACAGUUAUUGUUUAUUAAACACUUUAGCGCUGUAACUCUGCCCAACUUCAAACCCAAACACACCCUAAGUCUAGAUCGACAGAAUAGCCCUAAGUUAAAAAUGUGCAUGAAUCUUGAAAAAUACGAUAUUAUUGAAUCCUAAUUAGAUCCAACCAAAGCUUUGUGCAUAACAGCCUAGAUGAUAUAUUUAUUUUAAAUAAUUAAUCAACGUGAAUAUACAAAUAUGAUAAUAGCGGUGGUUCAAAAGGUUUGGGUUUCGAAUUCGGAUUACAUUAGGGUUGAGGAGUUGAUUGAAUAUAUAUUGCAAAAUGGGAAAAAAAUGGAAAUAAUAGAGAAACACACCUUGUAUAUUGAAUAUCUUUUUUUUUUUUUUUUCUUUUGAAGAUAAGUUAACUUAAAAUUUAGCUUAAUUUUAAUCCUAAAAAUUUAAGAAACUAAAUUAAGUCCUAACUAAACUAAAAUUAUAAAAACGACUCGAAUACGACCAAUUUGACUGAUUAUAAUUUGUAAUAUAAUUUUACCAAGACAGAACCAUGAUUGAUUACUUGCACCUUGCAUGUUAACAAUCAAAAGAUCUCUUUGUUUGAUGAGAAUUUGGCAUGAAUUGAAAUUCAAACACGGGCAAAGUGUUAAUGGAGCAGUGAUACCAGAAAAAACAUAACCUUCCUCCCUCGCCCAUAAUGUCAAACAACUACAAGACCGGUAGCUAGCUCUUCAAAGGUACUGAAGUCCAAAAUAGAGCCACGAUUAUCACUAGCUCACUUAUUGCACAGAUACAUGAAUAGAAGCAUCAAUUUUGAUUUGAUCACCAUCAAAAUUUCUGAAACAGAUUGACUGACAAAAGGGAGGGAAACUAAAUUCUGCUUGGCCGAAAAUCAUGUGACGUGGGACCCGAAAGCUUAUAAGCACAACCCCAAAACAAAGUCUCAGAAAUUUAUAAAAAAUGAUACUACCGAGCAUACUAAAGUCAUAUGACCUGGGUCACCAAUUCUCUUCUUCUUUUUUUUUUUUUUUUUUGGGCCUUCACGCUCGUUGGUUCAAUUGUCUUCAUACUACAAAAAAAUGCAUCUUUUGUUUGUUGGUUCCUGCACAAAUUGAAUGUUACCUCCCGAUUUUAACCAAAGGUGAAGAGAUUGAUGAAUAAGCAAUAUGUGAAUGACAACUUGUUCUAUCAUCCCAUUUGUAGGUGGCAUUAAAAUUUAAUGAGGUAAAUAUUGGUGAGGGAUUUUAUUGGGUUUAAUGCCUGUGAAUCAUGUCUUCACUGUUCUUAUGUCUGGAAAGUUUUCCUCGGUCAUGAUUGUUUACGCAAGCAUUAGGAAAAAUCAUAAUUCUUUACCUUAUUGUUUUAUUUACUUCCACAUUAUUGAAAAGAUUCACUUCUUUUGACAUUUAAGCUUUAUCUUGCUCUGUUUUUGAACAGGUUGAGGUGGAAAGAAUUCAUAUUGGCUUGCUGGGAUAAUUUUGGUUUACAUAAUUUGCUUCUAUGGCUACGGAAAGUUACCCUUUCACAUUAUCUCUCUAGUAUUACAUUAUUAUCUGGUCUCAUCUUGAGAGUUAAGAUUCUCGCCGGAGAUCCUAGGCUUUUCCCUCAUUUUCUUUUCAAGUAAUAGUUUGGCGGAGGGAAUCCAAAGCUUUUUAUGUUAUUGUCAUUUCUAACUUCAUUAUUUUUUCCAAUUCCAUGUUGGAUUCACCUGGUAGAAGCAUAAGCUAGCAAAGAUGAAAUGAACCAAGAGCAGGAAGUGAGUUUCUGUCGAUUAAUUUCUUCUUUUUUAAUUGCAAAUUGAGUUGGUGGUACUGAUAACGACAUGUUUUUUCUUCAUUAUUUCUUUUAAAUAAAAAACUAAAGCUCCUAUUAUACACAGGAAACGCCAUUGCCUCAGUCCCAGAACAAAAUGGUCGGUACUUUUUUUAUAUCCAUUAAAUGAAUAAAUAUUAAUUUAUAUUUAUAGAAAUAAUAUCACGUUGAUAAUAUGAUUUUUUUAUGAAAUAUAGUGGUAGUAUAAUUAAAGAAUUUAGUGAUUCUGAGCUAGUAUAAUUAGAAAAUUUAGUGAUCUUUUUUUUUUUGAGUAAAGAAAUUUAGUGAUUCUAACGUAGUAUAACUACAGAAUUAAGUGAUUUUAUCAUGUUGUAUGAUAGGAUUUUAAUUCGAUCUGGAUUGAGUGAAUCAAUCAUUUGAUAAUUCUUUGGUUAGAUUGUACAGUUGGAUCACGAUUACAUGGUAACUCAUGAACUGAGAUUUUUUGGAGGCAAUAGAUUAAAUCUCUCUCUCUUAUUUCUCUUACCACAACACAUAUAAUACAACAAUAACUUCUCAACUGAAAAGUAUAAAAAAAGUAAUGUUGAUCAAUAAAAUGCAUAAAACAUUAUGCCAGUACAACAAAAAAAAUCAUAGACAUAUCAUAUGUAUUUAGUUUUAAAUUAAUUAAUUAUUAAUACAUGUAUUAAUUGGGUCUUAUAAAAAAAUAAAUUUUUUUAAAAUAUAUUAUCUAAUAAAAUUUAUCAAAUUAUUAAUUUACCAUAUUGACUCUAUGUCAAACUGAAGAAAACUAUUAUUUAAUAGGAGUUAUCAAUUUAUCAAUAUUAAUUCAACGGGUUCAAUUCUACUUGGUUUUCAUUUUCUUAGUAAGUGAAGUUAUUAGUUCUCUUGCAUCCUAAUUUUCUUCGUUUCAACUACUUUUUUUUUUCAUUUUUCAUUUUUCAUUUUUCUUUUUUCUUUUAAAUCAAAAUCUUAGAAGAGAAGAAUUACAGCGUAGGGGACAUAAUGAAUUUCUCCUUAAAGAGAUGCAGAGAAAUAGAACACCAAAGUAACACUAAAAAGUUAGCUUGACAGCAUAAACAAUAAGCAAUGUAAGAGUUAUUUUGGAAAACCACAAGAGAAAUAAAUUUCCUGAUAGCUAAAAUAAAUUUCCUAGAUUAGCCAGGCAGUCAGCAUCACACAAUAAAAGAACCCAUUUGGAGGACAAUUAAUUACUUGUUAUAAUGGGUUGGAAAUUCCAAGCACAGCGACCUCAGCUUCCACCAUGCAACCGCCAUUCACUAGAAAUCCAGUCUCUGGCUCAUCUAACUCACUCAAUGAAACGAAUCUUGGCCAGCCCCAGUUUUCGCUGGGUGUAUUGAACCAGUCUUUAUUCUCUAAUAGAGUAAAAGGAACAUUCUCGUUAUAUUAUUUGGAUUUGCCUCAAAUACUAAUUGCAUGUAAACACAGAUAUUUUACCUCGAAAAGAUUUAUGUUUUGCCCCCACUUGAUCUAUGAUUCACAAUGUAUGCACUGCAUAUAUAUAUACUUUAAUCACCUUCACUGUGGAAUCUCCAAAAGCCAAGUACAGAGAAAGAUGAUCGCCAUCACCACAGCCAUUUCCAAUCUGGAGGAAUGUGCUUCACAAACAAAGAAACAAACAAACAUUACCAGAAGCAACUAUGCAGUUACUGGUUCGGAAACACAAAACCUAGAGUCACUGAAAACGGAGAGAACAAUUACUAUCUUUCAGUAAAGAAGCAAAACAACUAAAACCUAGCUUUGCCAGCUUUCGCAGCACGCAGCCCUUCAGUAAUUAGUGAUCAAGGCUUGAUGAUCAAGCAACAGGACCAUAACUCGCAUGGAUGAAUUUCAAAUUUAGGAGUCCAAUAAUGCGAGCGGUUUGAGUGAGAUAUUUUAACUGAAUUAUUGGCAAUUAAAACUUCAGAAACUAACAGGUGUCUGAAAAGCUUCUACCUUCACUUUUGCAGCAACCACUGCAUAAUGUCCUUUCGCAGGACUCCAUCAAACCCAUUUCUAUUGUAGUUCAAACUCAACAGAUCAGAUCCAUUUGUCUCAAGAUGCCGAUAAUGGGUUGUCGUUCCCGCAGGCCUUGGAUGCCGCAUCAUCAUGGCAAUGGUAGAAAAGGGUGGUUUUGGCCAUAUAUUUUUUGAUGAGCUAAACAGAUGUCUAUCAGAUUCCUUGUUUCUAGAUGUUUGGACUCCAGGAGUUUUUGGAUUCGAGGACUUCAUUCCAUGGUUGGCCAUGCUCAUGCUGGGGCCAUGUGAAGGUUUCUCAGGGGGACCAUGUAUCUGGGCAUAUGGUUUCAUUCAGUCAAGCCAACGUAGAAUCCAGCAUUUCUACCAACUUCUAUGUCCCUCUCAUGUAUGUUCCUGUGAAACUUGAGAGCAACAUCAAAGGCAGCACAUACUCGGCUGUGGAAAAAUCAAUGAAGAAUGAAGGUCAGUCUUCAAAAAACAAUGGCAGUUCCAAGUUGGAGGAGUAAAUUUGUUAUUAUUCAAAACAAUUGUAGAAAUAACAGUAUUUGCCAGCUAGUAAUUGACAUAACAGCAGUAGUUAAACAGUAAAAUGGAGUCCAAUGAGCCAACCAGUGGGAAGAAUGCAAUGCUCAGGCAGUACCGUGGGCAAUAUCACACUGAGACUCUAAGAGUGGAGGAUGUGCAAUUAUUGGCUUCAUGAGGCAUACUAAAUCAAUUCAAAGUUCAAAGUAUUGAAACAAUUAACUAAUUUAGGAUUUCCAUUUUAUGCACUAGAUCGGAAGGAUUCUGGAGCAAAAAUAUGUGCCCUGGUAACUUACUUUCAUGAAGUUAAUAACGUCCUACUAAUAAACAUCAAAAUGCAACGGCCCAUUAAAAAGAAAAGCACAGAAGAACUUUCAAUCUAUCAUUUCAAAACAGUCUCUCUGAACUAAACAAGAGUACAGCUAUGAUCUCCAGCUUUGGACGUUAGUACUUUUGCUUCUCCAAAAUCUUCACAUCACCUAAAGAGAGAGAGCAAUUUAAGAAUGUGCUCAUAAUAAUGAAAUUAGUUCUGGUAUCCGAGCAUUGUAGCUUGAUUGGAUAAUAAGUUCACAGGAAUACAUAUGAGACUCUCUAACUGCUUCACCUACAGGUACUACAAGAAGCUGGCAAACAUGUUGCUUUGACAUCAAGGGUUCAACAUAAUGCCAAAACAGCAAAAACAUUUUGUUAAAAGUUUGAUAUGGCAAAUCUAAAAGAUAAGUUGAUUCAAAUCCCAUAAUGGGCACACAGACAAUCUAGAAUGAGAGAAUGCAGGUUGCAGUUGCGAAUAUUCAACGAUCAACUGAGUUGAUAAUAACUUCUCCUAAUCCUUUAAAGGAUUGGCUUUGCUCCAUAAUUGGUUAAAUCACAAAUUUAGCAACCUAGCCUAUCCAAUAUGUCAUAAGAUCACAUAUUUAGAAGCUGAUUUUAUUAUGAAAGGCACAGGGCCAUUCUAAGUCAGAUAGGGAAGAAUAAUUGCUUUCAGGGAGGAGCCCAGUGGUCUCUCAUAUUGCAUAUGAUAUCAAGUCAAUGUGAACCAUUCACAUCAGCUUACAACCAAGCUGAAGUAGAAAUGUCAGGAUGCACGAUGAACUAGUUGAAGUACUAUUCUAAAGUUUUUCCAUCCAUAUUCUUAUAUAUUUAACGCAAAUAAAAUACAGAUUGGUACUUUGUUAUAGUUGUAUUCAAGCACAUAUUUGGCCUCUGUACAACUAAACUUCAAUGGAGCUCAUAAGAUUGGAAGCAAUAAGUUCAUCGGAUUAGCCAAGAUGGGGCACACUCAAAAGUAGACAAGUAGAGUACAACAGGUGCAUCUAACAAGAAAACUUCCAUUUUAAGAGAUGGUCUAGUGGCAUGGUACUCAGACAGAAAUUCCAGACCAUGAAUAACAAGUUAUGAACCACCAUCAAAGUAACUUUUCAAAGAGAUGAUUAAUACAUAGCCAAAGACAAGCCAUCAUAAUUGUGGACUGUUCAAAGAGAUGAUAAUACAUAGGCAAAUACAAGCCGUCAUAAUCGUGGACACAUAUCCUAAGAUAAUCCCAUUCCGCAGGAUGCAUUGCUGCAACAUAUAGAAUUCAGAUUCGACGCAAUCAACUCCACAUAAUCCAUCAAAAUCCCAUUGAAGAGGCAUUAGAAGGUAGAAAUUUCAGCUAAAUUUUUUUUGAAGAAAUGGAAAUAGAAGAAAGAAUCGUACCAUAGGUAGUGAGAAGAGAGAAUACAAGGGAAGAGAAAGGAGAAAUUCUAUGAAUCUUUGACCCCAAAAGAAAACCAAAAUCCAUACAAUACCUCCCUAAAGAACACACGCUUUUAUGGUUUUUGAUGGCAUAGGAGUACUUCCUAAGGAAAUAUAUAAGUAAUUAGGAGAUGCUACAAGAAUAGCUCAUGUCUGUUGCUUCCUAUAUAGUUACUUCCAUAUUCUUAUAUAUUUAAGGCAAAUAAAAUACAGAUUGGUACUUUGUUAUAGUUGUAUUCAAGCACAUAUUUGGCCUCUGUACAACUAAACUUCAAUGGAGCUCAUAAGAGUGGAAGCAAUAAGUUCAUCGGAUUAGCCAAGAUGGGGCACACUCAAAAGUAGACAAGUAGAGUACAACAGGUGCAUCUAACAAGAAAACUUCCAUUUUAAGAGAUGGUCUAGUGGCAUGGUACUCAGACAGAAAUUCCAGACCAUGAAUAACAAGUUAUGAACCACCAUCAAAGUAACUUUUCAAAGAGAUGAUUAAUACAUAGCCAAAGACAAGCCAUCAUAAUUGUGGACUGUUCAAAGAGAUGAUAAUACAUAGGCAAAUACAAGCCGUCAUAAUCGUGGACACAUAUCCUAAGAUAAUCCCAUUCCGCAGGAUGCAUUGCUGCAACAUAUAGAAUUCAGAUUCGACGCAAUCAACUCCACAUAAUCCAUCAAAAUCCCAUUGAAGAGGCAUUAGAAGGUAGAAAUUUCAGCUAAAUUUUUUUUGAAGAAAUGGAAAUAGAAGAAAGAAUCGUACCAUAGGUAGUGAGAAGAGAGAAUACAAGGGAAGAGAAAGGAGAAAUUCUAUGAAUCUUUGACCCCAAAAGAAAACCAAAAUCCAUACAAUACCUCCCUAAAGAACACACGCUCUUAUGGUUUUUGAUGGCAUAGGAGUACUUCCUAAGGAAAUAUAUAAGUAAUUAGGAGAUGCUACAAGGAUAGCUCAUGUCUGUUGCUUCCUAUAUAGUUACUCCAUAGUUAGUUCACACAAAAAUAGUUUCUGUAAGGUAAACAUGGUUUACUUUCACUGCAAUAUAUAACAUAAGUAGACGACAACACUCAUAUCUGGAUAAACUUUUGAAAUUAGGUUUUCAGGAUCUUUUACAAAUUUGUAAUUUUUAUUUGCUUCACCCUCUCCCCCUAUUCUUAGAAAACCUAAAAUUUUGGAUCCUUCUGUCCGUUGCCUUUGCUAAUAAGCAGUUCUCUGUCUAGCCGCUAUUAAGCCACAUUACCUCCACAAGAAAUCAAUUCCUAGCCACAAAACACUCCAUUACUCUCCCCAGCUUUGUUACAUUAGAUCUUUAGCAAGCAUCAAUAACCAAAUUCAAAAUAACACACACUACUAUGCACUUAAAUCAAAUUACCAAGAUCAAUUUUGAAAAAUAUCAUAAAAUCGUGAAACACAAGAACAUUGCAUUGCAAUGUAUUGUUAAUAUAUCCCAUAUCAGUAUCAUACAUAUCAUUAUCAACACCACGAAUACCACCACCAUCAUCAUAAACCUCUUUUGACUCCAAAAUCAACAGCUCUUAUUGUCGUAACGAGCAUAGCUACAGAACCCAUUACUGAAAAUUAACACUUGAAACCACCUAGCUUAAUUAAACCCAUCUGCUAAUAAACCUAUUCAUUGCUAACCCAUCAAGCUACAAAUUAAUCAAAAUCAAACUCCAAACAAAAUGAAAUAAUCAAAUAAUAAUAACAACAACAGUAACACAAAUAUACCGGUGAACAAAUUGACGAAUCCGGGGGUGCUUAGGGCUGAUAACGCGGCCCUGAAUCCUCAAAGCAAGCCUGUACGUCCGCUUCAUCCCCAAGAAAUACGCUGUUCCCAAUGUGAUCUCCCAUAGCACCAUUGUCUCUCUUUCUAGAACUCUCUCUCUCUCUGUGUAUUGUUCGUGUAUUUAUGCACUUUUUUUUUGUUUUAUGUUUAUUUAUUUAUGGAUAUUUUUUAUAUUUUGACGUUUCUUUUCUCCCAAGUAUCUAUGGAUCCCUCGCUUCAGAGAAGUAUCUAUGGAUCCCUUGAUUCGAGCCGCCAGAUAUUUCGAUCUUGGUUACCCAUCACGCUUCGGCCUUAGAGUGUUUAUCCGUUUUUUGUCUCCGGACUUCAUAUGUAUCUAAAGAGGAAUUUUUGAGGAUUAUGCCAUCAAUAAAAAUAAAAUUUCCAUAAACAUGACAAAUAUGUGAGGAAAAGUCUAGAAAGCCCUUCCAUUAGAAUGACACACUCUACCCACACCCAGUAGUUAGCUGCCCGACCUUUUUUUAGUUGACAACUAUACUCGACUUUAUUUUAACCAAUAGUUACAUAAUUGUGAGACUCAUUUUCAUAUUCGAUCUAUAUUUAAUUUUUUAAUUACUCGAAUAUUAUCGAAAAUGAACUAAUUAUGAUUAAAUUAUUUAUUAAUCAUUCCAUAAUUAUCUAAUUGUACUUAAGUAAUUUAUCUAUGCUAUGCAUUAUAAUGAACGAAAAAUUAAACUAAAGAAAGCCUGUCACUUUUUUUAUAAAAAAAAUUGGAGAGAGAGGGGCAAAAUAGUCUAUUGUGUUGCUAUAUUGAAUGAAUAUAUUUUAUAGUCUUUGUGCAAUUCACUCGGUCGUAAUCACAUAUAAGUGAAUAAAGCCGAAAGCAGGCGUAGUUCUGGAAAUUGGCCAUUUAAAAUUAAAAAAAAAAAAAAACUCUACAUCUCUUUGAGUUCUCCCGGCCUCAUCUCAACAGUUGGGUUCUCUGUUUUUUUUUUUAUAAUGCCACUGUUUUAGUGAAAGAGAUCUUUUAAAUACACCUCUUUACUUGAAUAAAAAAGGGGUACAAAUAUGUCAAACAAUAAAAAUGGCAUGAAGCUAAAAGGAGCAAAAUAAUAAUAAGUCAAUGGUAGAAUAAUUAGUAGAACUUCUUCGCGUGUUCACUAUUUCAUUUCUCAAUCUCUUGAAAUAUUUGAUUGAUGGGUAUUUAUAGCCAAUAAAGCAUAUAUAUUCGGUCGUGCAUUUAGCAACAUGUUUUUUGAUUCUUAAGGUGUUAUGUAUAUUAUAUUUCAAGGAGUAUGAUGAUACACACAUACAUCAUAAAUCAUGGAGCUGCUUUUGCAACUCACUUCCUAAAGUUAUUAGUGUAAAAUACACAUUCUUUUUACCAAGAGAUGAAUAGAUAUAUCUCAUAACAACAACGAGAAUUUAAAUUAUCACAAUGCUUUUGAAAUUCCAAGAACAGAAACCUCCGCUUCCACAAUGCACACAUCAUUCACAAGAAAACCAUUGCCUGCCUCGUUUUAGUAACUGAGUUCAACAAAUCUUGGCCAACCCCAUGAGGACCUGAACCAUAUACUUGCUGCGUGAAACAACAAUAAAGAAAGCCUCAAGUUAUUUGUAUUUAGCUAUAAAGCUUAUAGUUGCAGUACUAUUGCAUUAAUUCAUGCACCUGUGAAAUAAGUUUGGGAUAUUAAUUUUUUUAUUUAAUUACUUUUUGCUUCUUUAUGCUUUCCCCGCACUUGAUCCCGGAUUCGCAGUGUGAAGUGCACGUAUAUUUUAAAACCAGGAGUUAUAGUUGAGGAAUCAACCAAUGCCAAGGACAUAGAAACAUGACUGCCGGUUCCACUUUUGAUUCCCUUGGGAUGGAGCUGUAUCUUCCUGAAAAAAUCAACAAGGGUUAAUUUUCAGAUGAGGCAUUUAAUUAGAUGAUACGAGUAAAGAAAUUAACAGAAAGAAUUAGUCAUCCUCAACUUCGGACGUCUACUUGAUCGUAGGCUAAAUCCAAACCUCGUGAAAUUUGGACACCAUUUCAGAAAGUAUAUAUAUACAUAUACCACUUUUGAUCUCUAACAAUGAAUACUUCUGAUUCGUGACGCUUUGCCUCUAACUUUGAAAAGUUCUCGAUCUUCCAAACAUGCUUAUAAAUGGAAGCAGAUGUCAAUUUCGUCAUGGAAAGGCACUCUCCUUUGCAUUUGUUCCUUUCUUUAACCAGUACUUCUGCUCCAAAAACACACGUAUCGUCCACAAGAUAUCCAUUCGAAGCAUCGUUAAAUUCUUCCAGCGGGAUGAAUUGAUCAAAACCCCAUUCAAGCUUCAAUCCAUGAAAACGUCUUUCUUUUCCCAUGGCAUCUACCACAUGAUGAAGUGACCCCAAAUCACGAUUAGCUCUUAGGUAAAUAAUUAAGAACAAAAUAAUCCUGAACACUGUUGAGUAUAAUAAUCAACCUUGAAGAAUCAAGAACUCGUCUUUGUUCUGAUCAAGCACAAAGAGGCGGAAAAUUGGAUAGACUUCCCAGCCAAAGCCAAGCGAACUUGUGUCUGCCAUUUCCAAGUAGAGUGAGAUGUGAUCGUUCACAUUUUUGUUUUCAUUUCCAUUUGGGUAGACAACAAGUUUCCUGAAACCAUCAUGAAUUCAAAAUAACAUAUUAGAUUAUGAAUUAUAAUUUAGUAACAAGGUAAUCUGAAUAUUAAUUCACUAAGUUUUAGGUCAUACCACUUGUGGCCUCCAGCAUCAAAUUCCAAAGAUUCAUAAAUUUCCAAUUCAUUCUCCACAAGAGAUGAAAAUUCCUGUAUUUUGAGUAAGAAAUGAGCCGGUGGUACGUGUGAAAUGGAUCUUGAAAUUGCCGUCAAGAGUAAUUUUAACAUUGAUAAGAAGAUAACAAGCUAAAAAUGUUCAAUUAAUGCACAUAUAUAAACAUACGUAGAGAAGGGAAGCUGAGGAAAGAGUUAGACAACAUACCAACUUGGUCUACAAAGUCAUUUUCCAUUGCAACAAAUCCCUCCAAAUUACAAUAAUUUCUCGAGUAUUAAAACUAGUAUUGAAGACAGAUUUAUUAAGAUAAGAUUUUUCAAGGGUUACAGGUCUCUCAAAAAUAAUAUUUCUUCUUUAAAAUAUCUAAAAGGGACAAUGGCAUAUAUAAAGCACCAAGGUUGAGGGUUUAUACAAUUCAACAUUAAAUUUUCAGAAAGAGUCAGAAUAACUAUUGAUAUUCGCCAAGUUUUGGAAACUGGUGGUUGCAAGAAUGGAAUGGAAAGGGGAAUGCAAGGGGGGGAAGGGAGAUUGAUUCUUUAAUUUGUUUGGUUUGGUCAAGGAAUAUUGAUUUCUUUGCUUGGUUGCAAGAAUGGAUGGUAAGGGGUAAGAAAACAACUACAAUACAAAUGAACAAGAAUAUGUGCCCUCCACUCAAAAAACGUCUAUUUCAACGAACUGAAGCAGUAUUUUAGUUGUUCUAUUUUCUAUUAUCAAAUAUUAUAAAAUUAGCUUCCAAAAUUUAGGCCCGAUUUAGUAUUAUGGUUGAGCAGCACUUAGUGUUCGAUAAAUAUUUAUUAAUCUAAUCUGAAAGUUAAGUUGAUUUUAUUUCACGCUCGUAAAAUAAAAAAACCUAAAAAAAACCUAUUGCGACUGGCAGAAUACAGAGAGAAAAAAAGAGGGGCAACAGUGAAUAAGAUAUCACAGGCUAAACCUAUAAGAAGCAUCCCCAUCUAGUUUCCAUGUGGAGACUUAACAACCAAUUAACCACCAAUUAUCGAGCGGCAACAAUUGAAUUUCUCUGUCAAAUAUUUGGGUACGAUGAGAUUAACUCUUAUUAUAAGAAAUAAAAUUAAAAAAUUGGCAUCCCAAUUUUCUUGCAAGAGUAGCAAUGCUUAUUAGAGUAUAUAUUACAGGGCUUUGGGAAUUCUAAGCGCAGACACCUCUACUUCAGCAAUGCACACUUCGUUCACAAGAAAACCAUUGCUUGCCUUGUUCAAGUAACUGGGUUCAACAAAUUUGUGCCAGCCCCAAUCUUCGAUUGAGUUCCUAAACCAUGUACUGGCUACAGGAACAACAAUAGAAACCUGAAGUUAUCUGUAUUUAGCUACUACGCUUAUUGAUGAACUUCAACACCUGUUAAAGCUUGGGUUAAUAAUAACAAGGGUAAAGUUUUAUGAUUAUGCUUUGACUACACUUGAUCCUGGAUUUGCAGUGUGAAACAAAGGUAUUUUUAAAACCACGAGUUAUAGUUGAGAAGUCAGCCAAAUAUCAGGUACAUAGAAAUAUGACUGCCAGGUCCUUCUCUCUGUCCCUCGGGAUAGAGGCAUACCUUCCUGAAAAAAUCAACAAGGGUAAAGUUUAAGUCUCGGCAUUCAAUUGUACUUAUUUACUAAGAGGUUCCACUUAACAAAUUAUUAAAACAUUAACUUUCAAAUGUGGCAUUUAGUUUAUAUAUAUGAACAGAGAAACAAGUAAAUUUUAGAAAAUCAUUUACAUUAUACAUUCGAAGAAGUGGUCAUAACAUGAGGCCCCUUUUUAACAAGUUGUACCAUUCAAAUUUCUUCUACAUUACCAUUAGAAAUAUAUCGCACAUGUAUAAAUGAACCUUAAGUAUUAGUCAUGUUCUGGUACAGAUGUCUAGAUUUCGGCUAUUAUAUAUUAGAGUUGUGCAUCAUUAUAAAAUGUACAACUUUGAUUAUAGUUCGAAUCGAGGUUUUAUAGACUCUGAACGUCCUGACUUGAGCAUUAAAUCCAGAUAUCAUUCAAUUCUGAAUUGAUCAAAACCUAAUUCAAGCUUCUUUCAUUUCCCAUGGCAUCUAUUACAUGAAGUUGACCAAAUCAUUGAUUAGCUCUUAGUUAAAUAAUUAAAUAAGAACAAAAUAAUCAUAAACAUUGCUGAGUGUAAUAAUUAACCUUGAAGAAUCAAGAACUCGUCUCUCUUCUGAUCAAGCACAAAUAAUAAUCUAAUAUCUAAUUCACUGUUGUGGAUAGUUAUGACCAAUUAAUUAUCUUAUUUUGCAAUAACAUAUUUUUUACGUUCGGCACCGUUUUUCAUGGGCCAUUCUCAUUUUCUUUUUAUAAAUUCAAGUGGAAUAAGUGUUCGGUAGCCCUUCUCGUAAAACCUAAUUGUAAAACAUAGAAUCUGACUUAGCUUUGAUAGUUAUAAAUUAUAAAACAACUUAUACAUGUUUUACUUGUUUUAUAAAACAAAUUGUAAAAUAAAAUAUAAUAAUAUACACGGUUAAUAAAAAUAGCAGAUAGUCUCCAUCUUUAAGACUCUUGACACCCCGUCUAUCUCACUAACCUUAUCUCUUAACUCUCAUCUUCCUUCAUGAUUUACGAACUGCAUCUCGUUCUUCCUUUCUUCUUCUUUUCUUCUUCCUCUGUUUUUUCUACCUUUCCUUCAUAAUUCUUUUCUUUAUUAGCUCGAUCAUUUUUUUCAACAUAUUUCUGGGUUCUUAUACAUUUUAUUUAGUUUUUCUUUGAUAAAAUCACCAAAGAUCUAUAGAGAUUUACACUGAACUUUGCAGAUAUGGGUAUUUGAUUCUUAAUUGUAAGCAAGCAUGUAAUCUUUUUUUUUUGUUUCCCAGAAACGCCAUAUUUAAUCAUUUUAAUUUGAUCAAAUGUUAAAAUGUUGUAAGAAUUCAAUAGAUUUUUUUCUUUUUUGAAAGAAAGGAGAAUUAGAUUUAAUAUUUAUAAAAUUAUUUUUCCUCCUUUUAUAUCCUUUUCGAAUCAAGUGUAUAAGGUAGAAAGAUCGAUCGAAUAGUGAUCAUGUUAACAAAAAAUAAUUAUUUAAAAAAGUUAAAAUUGGAUAUUAUAAUUAUUGUUAUUAUUAUUGCUGUUGUUGUUGUAAGUUGGUAUAUUGAAAAAUAAAUUAGUUUUUAUAUGAAUUUUAAACACAAAUUUAACUUGCAUGAAGUAAAAACCGUUAAUAGAUACCGAACGUGUAUUAUUAAUUUCAUUUUUUAAAUAUAGGAUAUACAAAAUAAUACCAAACACAUAUUUAAAUUAGAAAUAUAAGAACUUCAAAACACCAUUUUCGUUCUCAUUUUUAUUCUAAGAAAAUAUAAAUUUAAAAACCAUACCGAACAUGCUAGCUUCUGAUCUUUUUUUAGUUUAGAAACUACUUCUUUUGAAUUCUUAAAUGUCCAUAUAUGAUAUUUCUUUCAUGUAACAUUAAUUUCUUGCUUGUACUCAAUUUAUCUUAUUAAUGCUUCUCUUUAAUUAAAAACUAAGAGUUUUUAUCACCAUCUCACUUGUUAAUAGUUGAUAGAUAGUAAUUUUAUUCCAGGAUUAAGAUUGUCAGAGAUUUUCUUCCAGGAUUAAGAAUUAUGUCAAUGAACAAAUGUGAUCGCAUAAGUAAGCCAUAAAAUCAAUGAAUUUCUUUAUUUCGUGAGAAACCAAGAAGAAUAAACAUCUCAAUUUUCUUCAUAUUUUGCUCGAAUUACUUGUUAUUACAAUGCCUCGGAGAUUCUGAGCACGUGAUCUCAGCUUCCACCACGCAAAUGUCGUUCACAAGAUACCCAUUCUUUGGGUCAUUUAACUUAAUGAAACGAAUCUUGACCAACCCCACUUAUUAUCGACUGGUGCAUAGAACCAUUUUCUACCUCCUAGAGAAAAGGAAUCAUUUGUUGAACAUGUGCAUGCAUGUGGCAAAUAAUUGCACGUGGCUAGCAUGCAAUUUUUUAACUCUUAGCAUAAAGUUGUUGAGUAAAUGGAAAACAAAGGUAAGUGGAAGGAAUCAACUUUUGACAUUGGCACCAAAUUUGAAAAGUUGGGUGGAAAUUUAUAUUAUUUUAAUGCCCACCAUUGUUGAUUUUUGGGCAUGGCUUGACCUAUCAAUAGAGGCCUCAUUUGCCCUCUUUAUUUAUCUCAUUUUCUCCAAUUCAAGUGAGAGUGCCAAGAGGUGUAAGUUGAGAGUGUUGAGAGCUUUGAGCUGUAGUUCUAGUGUUUUGAGAGUUUGGGUGUAUUGAGAUUUUGGGUUGAGAGAAAAAAUAUUACAAUACUUGUAAUUCCUUUUCACUAGUAAAAUAUUUUCUUUUGUCUUUGUCUGUGGAUGUAGGUUAAAAACUGAACCACGGAAAUUCUGGUGUCCAGGUAUGUUCAUUAUUUCUUAAUUUUACUUUAGUUGCGUGUUUGCUGCACCCGCAAAUUCCCAACAUCAUUCUCAUUAUACAUAUUAUUUGAAUUCUAUAACCUCAAAUUAAGCUGAUUUUUUUUUAGGUUAAAGGUACUUUCAAAAUCAAAGAGUAAAAAAAAAACUGCUUGAAAAUCACUCAAUCAAAUUACCGGUGUCAAUCAUAUAAAAAACAAGCAAUAUACCUUAAGAAGAUUCAUGCAUUGGCGAAUUUGAUCCAAGAUUUGAAAUGUAAACUCUGCGCAUACUUUAACAAUACUCCGAACUGCGGAAUCUCCAAAACCCAAGAACAAGGAAAGAUAAUCGCCAGCACCGGGGCCAGCUCCCAUCGGGUGCAGCUCUAUCUUCCUGAAAAAAACGAAAUGGUAUUUAAUUAAUUGUACACUCACUGACAACUUUGUCUCAAGAACUUAUUAUUUAUUAUACCUGUAUAAAUUAAAAAAAAAUUAAAAUCUUCGAUACCAUUUGUGGUUUCCAGCAUCGAAAACUUGUGAUUCCUCAUAUCCUGCGUCUAACUUUGAAAAGUUCUCGAUCUUCCAAACAUACUUACAACUGCUUGCAAUUUCUUUCAUAGAUAGGCACUCUCCUUUGAAUUUGUUUCUUUCUUUAACAAGCACUUCAGCGUCAAAAACACACGUAUCUUCGACAAGGUAUCCAUUUGAAGCAUCAUUGAAAGCUCUAAGCGGGAUGAAUUUAUCAAAACCCCAUACAUGCUUCAGUCCAUUAAACCGUCUUUCCUUUCCCAUGCAAUCUAUCACAUUAAAAGCAACCACUGAUUAUGCAUGCAUUCAAUUUCUUUCCUAAAGAUUCGAGCAAAAUUUUUGCUUUCAAUAUACAAUUCUGGACAUUAAAUUUGAUUUAACCUUGAACUACAAAGUAGUUGUCUUGGUUCUAAUCAAGUAAGAACAGACAAAAACUGCAGAGACUUCCCAAUCCAAAGUAAAUGAACUUGUGCCUGCAAUUGCUAAGUAGAGUGAGAUGUAGUCUUUCACAUUCUUGCUCUAAUUUCCAUUUGGGUACAGAACAAGUUCCUUGUAAUAAUUAAUCGACAUUAAUAAAUAAUACACUAACAUGAUAAUUAAAUUUAAUUACGUCAAUUAAGGACACACACACACGCACACACAUACAUACAUACAUACCACUUGUAGCCUCCAACUUCAAAUUCUCCUGAUUCAUAUUCCUCUUCUGCUUUUUCCGCAAGUAAUGAAAAUGAUUUUAUUUGGACAAUGUAAUGAGCCGGUGGCGCUUUUGAAGUGGAUCUUUCACUAGCUAUUAAAGUAAUUUUAUACACCGAUUGAUUAAUUAGGAAAUAAAAUAAGCAGCUGAAGAUUUUAUGUAUAUUAAUUUGACCAAGAAGAGAAGGAGAGAGAACAGACAUUCCACGGAAAAAAACUCUUCCAAAUAAUUGUCGAAUGCACAUUCUGCCUCGUGGGAAGGACAAUGUAAUGAGCCGGUGGCGCUUUUGAAGUGGAUCUUUCACUAGCUAUUAAAGUAAUUUUAUACACCGAUUGAUUAAUUAGGAAAUAAAAUAAGAAGCUGAAGAUUUUAUCUAUAUUAAUUUGACCAAGAAGAGAAGGAGAGAGAACAGACAUUCCACGGAAAAAAAUUCUUCCAAAUAAUUGUCGAAUGCACAUUCUGCCUCGUGGGAAUUCUCGGACGGCGUUUCGCGACCGAAACGGCAGCGUUUCGAGGCAGCUGUCUUUUGAGGGUGGUUCAUGCUAAGUCCGAUGAUGGCUUCAGGAAUGCUCCGCUUGAUACAACUUAGUAGCUAAUAACUUUGUCCAAAUCCCAAAUAAAUAAGAGAAAUAAAUUUAAAUCCAAAUAAAAAUGGAAUUACAAAAACUGACUAAAAAACAAAGGCUAAAUAGGGUAAAUCCUGAUAAAAUAUGAAAAACUGCUUUUAACUAAUAAAAUUCGUAAGUAUCUCAUUUAAAUGUUACAAAUGAUCAAUAAAAUCUCACCCUUAAAAGUUGUGUGCCUUGCCCGCACUUGAUCCAAAAUAUAGAGUCCAAGUUUUGCAUAUACUUUUAACAGUCGAAUAUACCAAAAUCGAGAACAGCAGAUCAGCUUUUUCUUCAUGAAGAAUAUUAGCUUUUUUGCAUUUAUUUUCAUUACAAUAAGUUUCUUGCAACCACCAUGAAUUCAAUGAGAUAUUAGACGGCCGUAGUUCAGUAAUAAGAAAAUCUGAAUAUUAAAUGAAUUAGUCUGACUAUUGAUAUUCAUCAAAUUUCUGAAACUGGGUCAACAAUUUGCUUUUCAUUGUAAUCCAGCGAAGGAAAAAAAAAGUAAUAAUAAAUAAAGUUUGGUAGAUAAAUCAAAAGAAAAUCAUAUAAUAAUAUUCCAUGUGAUUGGAUUAAUUGUUUCAGUUGGUUUCACUGCCUUCGAUUUCUCUCUUACAUCCCAAUUUUCUUUGUACCAAUCACUUCUUUCUUUUUGGAAAUCAAAAUCUUAGAAGAAAGAAGAAUUACUGCCAAGAGCAUAUAAUAAAUCUUCACGUUCAUAGAUGCAUAAAAUUAGAUCACCAAAAUCACACUAAAAGUUAACUGGACAACUGAAACAAUAAGCAACAUAGCUAUAAUUUGGAAAUCCAGGAGAGAAAUAAUUUUCUUGCAAGCUAAAAUAAAUUUCCUAGAUUAGCCAGGAUGGCAGUCAGCAUCACACAAUAAAAGAACCCAAUUGGACGACAAGUAACUACUUGUUAUAUUGGCUCGGAAAUCCCAAGCACAGUGACCUCAGCCUCCACCACGCAAACGUCAUUCACUAGGAACCCAGUCUCUGGAUCAUUUAACUCACUCAAUGAAACGAAUCUUGGGCAGCCCCAGCUAGACUUUGGUGUAUGGAACCAGAAUUUAUCUGCUAGAGUAAAAGGAGCGCUCUCGUAAUAUUAUUUGGAUUUGCCUUCAAUUAAUUAAGCUGACUUACUAAUUGCAUGUAAAGACACACAUUUUACCUUGAAAAGAUUCAUGCUUUGCCCCAGUUGAUCCCAGAUUCGCAAUGUGAACUCUGCAUAAACUUGAACAUUCUCAACUGUGAAAUUUUCCAAAAUCAAAAACAUGGAAAGAUGAUCGGCAGCACCAAUGUCAAUUCCCGCGGGGUGGAGCUCUAUCUUCCUGAAAACAAUGAUUUGGAACUUAGUUGUAGAUUCACUAAAUACCUUGCCUCAAGAAGGUAUUUACAUAUAUAUUCUGAUUUGGAAAAAGAAAAAAAUUGAAGCUUAGAUACCAUUUGUGAUUUCCGGCACCGAACGCUUGUGAUUCCUUAUAUCCUGCGCCUAAUUUUGAAAAGUUGUCGAUCUUCCAUACAUACUUAGAACUAUAUGCAUAUUUUUCCAUGGAUAGGCACUCUCCUUUGACUCUGCUUCUUUCUUUAACAAAGACUUCAGCUCCAAAAACACAUGUAUCCUUGACAAGGUAUCCAUUUGUAGAAUCGUUGAAAGCUUCAAGUGGGAUGAACUGAUCCAAACCCCACUGAAGCUUCAACCCAUUAAACCGUCUUUCCUUUCCCAGGGCAUCUAUCACAUUACAACCGACCACUGAUUAUGCAAUUCUUUAUCUAAAAGACUAGAACAAAUUUUUGCUGCAGUAUUUUCUGUAUUUAAUUUGUAAAAUACUGACGACCACACUAGAUAAGUUUAUAAACAUAUCAUAUCGUCAAAAUUGUAAAAUGUACGUAGAUCAUUAGAAAAUAUGAUCAAGAUUAACAUUUCGAAAGUAGAAUAUAAUAUAACCUUGAACUACCAAGUAGAUAUCUUGGUUCUGAUCAAGUAAAAACAAACGAAAAACUGCAUAGACUUCCCAACCAAAAGUAAGUGAACAUGUAUCUGCCAUUUCUAGGUAGAGGGAAAUGUGAUCUUUCACAUUCUUGCUCUCUUGGGGUAUAUAACAAGUUUCCUGCAAUAAUUAAUUAAUCAACAUAAAUACACUAAUAAAUGAUACUACCAAGCAAAGACUAUCAUUCAAAAGUUAGGUUCAAAUCGUGAUCACAUUAGGGUUGGGGAGUUGUUGUUUUUUUUUUUUUUAAUCAUUAUAGUCUAACGGCAGCCCAAUUUUCUUGUCAUCUUUGAAAAGUGAUUUUGAACCCGGGAUCUGAUGUUUCACCACAAAAGAUUUUACCAAUUUAACUAAAUAACACUCAGCCCGUAGGUUGAGGUGUCGUUUGAUUAUUAAUAUCAAGAUGGAAUAAUAAUAAUAAUAAUAAUAAUAAUAAUAAUAAUAAUAAUAAUAAUAAUAAUAAUAAUAAUAAUAAUAAUAAUAAUAAUAAUAAUAAUAAUAAUAAUAAUAAUAAUAAUAAUAAUAAUAAUAAUAAUAAUAAUAAUAAUAAUAAUAAUAAUAAUAAUAAUAAUAAUAAUAAUAAUAAUAAUAAUAAUAAUAAUAACGAUAAUAACAAAAGAAAAGGUGGUGGCAUAAGUUAUUUAAUUUACUGCAAUAAAGGAACUAUAUAUAUAUAGAUAUAUAUGCACACGCACGCACGCACCACUUGUAGCCUCCAGCUUCAAAUGCUCCUGAUUCGUACUUCUUAUGAACUGCUUUUUGGGCAAGUAAUGAAAAUGAUUUUAUUCUUAAGCUAAAAAUGUACAAGAAUAUUGAAAAAUAUGAUAUUAUUUAAUCCUAAUUAAUCAAUAUACAUACACUAAUACCGUAACAGUAGUGGUUCAAGAGGUUCGGGUUCGAAUUCGGAUUACACUAGGGUCGAGGAGUUGCUUGAUUUAUAUCGCAAAAUGGGAAAAAUAAUAAUAAUAAUAGAAAUAAUAAAGAAAGGAAUGGUGGUGCCUUGAGUUAUUUAAUAUACGGCAGUCAAGAAAAUAAAUAUACGUAUCACUUGUAGCCUCCGGCUUCAAAGAAACUGUCCAUCUCUGUUAACAAGUUCUCCAAAGAAUUGUUGAUUUUUAUUGAUUAGAAAUAAAAUAAAUUAAAUUCUAUCCAAACUGAAAUUACAAAAACGACUGAAAUACGACCAGUUUGACUGAUUAUAAUUUCUAAUUGAAUUUUACCAAAACAGAACCAUGAUUAAUUGCGUACACCUUGCAUAUUAACAAUCAAAAGACCUCUAUGUUUGAUGAAAAUUUGGCAUGUGGAAAGUGUCAAUGUAGGAGCAAUGAUACCACUACCAGAAAAGAACAUAACCUUCCUCCCUAGUAUAUAAAUGUCAAACGAUUACAAGACUGCUAGCUAACUCUUAAAAGGUACUGAAGUCCAAAACAGAGCCACGAUUAUCAGUUGCUCAUUUACUGCAUUGACAAAUGAAUAGAAGCAUUAAUUUGAUCAUCAUCAUUAGUUCUGAAACGAAUUGGCUGACAAAAGGGAAACUAAAUUCUGCUUGGGCAAUGUGAAAAUACGACAAAGCAUACUAAAAUCAUGUGACGUGGGACCCGAAAACUUAUAACCACAACCCCGAAACAAAGUCUCAGAAAUUUAUAAAAAAAAUGAUACUACCAACCAUACUAAAAUCAUGUGACGUGGGUCGUCAAUCCUUGGUUCUUUUACUUUUUUAUUUUUUUAUUUUUUUCCAUUGACUUCAGAACUUUUUUUACUCCUCUCUGUGGCGGCACUUUACACUCGUCACUACUAGAAAAAUAGGUUAUUAUGACAGAAUUUUUGUGAGAUAUUUAAAAAUUAAUCAUUUAUCACAAAAAUAAGAUAGAUUCGUGAUAGAAUUUUUAUGUAUCAUAAAGACGUGAUAGAUUUGUAAUAGCUUAUUUAUCUAUCACAUACACAUGAUCGCAUAUUAAUAUUUAAUGAAACGGUGAGUUUUGAAUGGAUUAAUUUAGGCAUAGAAUGACAACGUAUCUUGAAACCACAAAAAAAAAACAAAAAACCAUAAGUGGUAGACUCUCCUUUGACUUCAAAUGGCAAACCCUAAUUUCUAAAUCACACACAAAAACAAAAUCACGUUGCUGACAAAAAAUUUGGUCCUCUACUGCGCUGCUUGCCGACAACAAAUUGCUACUCUUCGUCUUCGUCUUCGUCUUCGUCUUUGUUAAGGAAGCUCAUUUGAGCAAAAUGGUCAGCAAAGCAGAGGAUUGUAACAGUUGCAGUUCACAGUUACAAGUUGAUGACUUGGGAUGCCAGCUGGCACCUGGUGGUUAUAUAGUUUCUUGUACACGUGAAUAUUAGUUUUAGUUUUGUUAUAGUAGCUAUUAAGUAUGUUUAGCAUGUUUAGUUAGCUAAGCAAAAUUAGUUGUGUGUACAGCAGCUUAUUAUAAGAAAUAAAAUUAAAAAAUUGGCACAGCUAGGUCUUUACUUCCUCUUUUUCUUAUAUUAUAUUCUUUUGAUUUGAUUUGAUUUGAUUUUUCUGUGAUCUAUACGCCAUUUAUUUUGAUCGAUCUGAUUGCUAUUCUAUGAUGUUGUUUAUUUUUUGGUGAACCACUAGCUUUCAAUUGAUUUUGAUUUAUUUGCUAGAUCUAGGGUUUUGUAUUGGCUUAUUAGUUUAGUAGUUAUGUAUCGACAUGUUUUUUCCUUUAAUUUUGAUUUUUUUUACUUCUCUCAUUCUAAUUUAGAUAAUUUUAGGGUUAUGCUUGAAUUAAUUAUUCUUUUAAUCAACUUAGGGUUGGAUUUAAUUGAUUCUAAGUCUCAUCUCUGUUCCCAUUCAAAAAAUAAGUACGCACAAAUAGUUUUCAUUUUAUUCUCAGUCAUUGCCAUGUGAUAAUUUUGUUUCUUUGAAUUAAUUUAUUUAAUCUUCGGUUAAUACACUUCUCUUUGAAUUAAUUUUGUUUGUUUGAAUUAAUCAUGGCCAUGUGAUGGAGUUCAUUUAUCAUUGGGAAGAAAAAAGUAGAUGAGAAGGAAUAUCAUGUUCAAGAGAUUAAGGACAACAUGCUGGACUAAUUAUCGAUUAUUUUAAAAUUAUGUUUUGGCUUAAACUACCCAUGUCACUAGCAUUAUUUCAAAAUCUGAAUAACCUCAUCUCUUUCUCAGACUGAAAGGCUAGCAUAGCAUUGGGCUGUUGCCUUUACUAAUUGAGAAGUGAAGUUCUAAACAGUGGCUCUAUACUGGAAACUUGGUUUCAUCUGCGUUAAUACUUUUGGUAAUUUCAGAACAAGAACUGGAAUCUAAAUAAGUAGUAGAAAUUUUUUUAUGUAAUUCUCAAGAUUUUUGAUAUCCUGAAUUUAUGGAUUAGUUAGAUAUCUAAUUUCUUCACUUUUUAAAGUGGAAAUUACUAGUUGCUUGAUGAGUAUGAUAAGUUUACUGCAAAAUACUUGUCUAGGACGCCCUCUGCUAUGAUGGGCUCUAAUGUGUUGAUUUCUCUGAUUUCUGCCCUGGAAGAAACUUUCCAUUUCUCUAAUUUAUGUUGUUUUUUUUUUAACCAUUGUUGCUAUUUUAACUGCUAGCUUUUUUUUUUAUUGAAUUUAACUGCUGUUGGUUUUUUUUAUGGGUUGAUUAUGUAAUUUUAUUAGUUGUUCUUACAGUUACAAACAAUAUUAAUCCAAAUGUGCAUGAUUAUAUAUAUAUAUAUAUAGUUUGCAUUAAUAUUAAUGGAAUAAAGAUUGAAAAAGAUCAUAAGUAACCAUACCACACAAGUUGAGAUUGUGUGGAUAUUAUAUCUUCAAAAUACACACCCAACUAGCUCUGGUGAGCUCUGGAGACUUUAAACUCGUUAUUUGAAGCGUUUUGCUAAUAUCAUUCAUUUGGAUUAGUUGCAAAUAAAAUUCAUUGUUUCUAAUUAGUAGCUAAAUAAAUUCACUAUCCAUGAUGGAAUUCUCCUACAAUUUUAGGAUUAACAAAGAAGAAUCAUAUAAAAAAUUAUAAUAAUGAAGGAGCAAAAUAAGAUAUGGCCUGGGAAUUUGUUUAUGCCAGUAUAGCAAACGCCACAUAUAACUUCUUAAGUUACAAUAAACUAGGAGAAGGUAGAUUUGGGCCAGUGUACAAGUAGGGAUGGCAAUGGGGAGGGGAGGGGAGGGGAGGGGACCAAUCUCCCCGUACCCAUCCCUGAUAUUUUGUGUAUGUCCUCGUCCUCUCCCCGUUCCCGUCAUAAUUACUUGAGAGAAUCUCCACCCCCUCCCCGAAUAAUAACAGGGGAUCCCCGAGGGUCUCCGAUCCCCGAAUAACUAAUACAUUUUUGUUUUCGAUUUUGAGUUAAUCAUAUUAAAAUAAAAAAAUUCAAAUAAAAGUAAAGUUUGAAAUAUAUCUUACAUUAAUAUCCAUUAGAAAAGUCACAUACAUUAAAUUAGUAAGUAACGCAGCGUGUAAGGGAUACAAACUUAUUUUAUAAACUAUCGUGAAUAAAUUAAUAGUCUAAUACAAAAUGGUUACAAAUAAAAUCGAAUUUAGAUUCAAAAUUAACUUUUUCAAUGGUGGCGUGGGCACUUUAUAAAUGUGGACUAUUCCUUUUACAACACAAUAGUUAAGUCGGAGCAAAUCAAGAGCAAAUAUUAGAUUAGAUAUUAAAAUUGUGAUUCCCUGUGGGCAAUUAUAACAUCUAAAAAUAAAUAAAAAAUAGAUUUAAGUUUAAAACAUUUAAUGAAUAUUAAAAUAAAAAUAAAAUUUUUGGGCUAAUAGAAUUUACCCGGUUUUUUUAAUGUGCUAAAUAAAAAUUUAGGAUUUUAAUUAGUUAAUUAGGCCUAAAAGUUUAAUAAUAUAAAUAUUUUGAUAUUUUUUAUUUUUACCAAUAUUUAAAAUUUUAUAAUUCAAAUUUUAUUAUUUAUUUACUAGUAAUUUUAAAAAAUAAAAAUUAAAAUUAAAAUUAAAAUGGGGAAAUGGGUAGGGGAUGGGGAUUCUACCUCAUCCCCAUCCCCUCCCCGAAUAAGAAAUUGGGUAAAAAAAUUUCCCCGUCCCUUCCCCGAAUAAGAAAUUGGGUAUGAAAUUAUCCUCAUACCCUCCCCGAAUGGGGAAAAUUCCCGAGGGUACCCGUCCCCGUGGGGAUUUUUGCCAUCCCUAGUUUUAUUUUACUAAAACACAAAAUAUGAUUUUUUUUAUUAAAAAGAAAUUCAUAGUUAAUUUAUCUCCUUAAUAGAGUCUUGUUUUUGUGGAAGUAGUAAUGGAUGUAACCAUUAUUAAAUAACUUUUCAAAAUUAUAACAAUUAUAGACCUUAUCAUAAGAAAUCAAUAAGUGAAUAUUAUACAAACAUAAUUAGUAUGAAGUUGAAUCAAUAUUGAUGAUGGACCGGAAAUUCAAAUCCAAAAUCUUCACUAAUUUGGCUUAGUAACUUUCUUGUUCAAGUUUAAUAAUUUUUGUGAAACUGCUCCUAAAAUUAGGGAGAGCAAAGUGAUAUAUAUAUUUGAUGGACAAUAUAAAUGCCAUGUAUCACCUCUACCCCAUUUGAUUUUUAUAUGAGUUAAUUUAUUUAAACUUAAAGUUCAACAAGAUUAUUGUACAACGUGCAUUGUUGAUCAAUUAAUUGAUAAGCUCACUGACAUAGAGAAUUAAAAAAAAUUACCACUAAUAUGGGUUGAUGUCCUUGAAGGAUGAAAUGGUGAUACAAAAUAAAUACACAAAUGCCUGAAGCUUGCAUGUAAUAGAUCAAAUAGUAAAAAAUAAUUUAAAUCUUGAGAAAAUGACAAAAUCUUUUAAAAUAAUUCGGCGCUCCUAAAGAGACUAUGUUUGUAUAUAGAAACACAUUUGAUCUAUAGUUAGAUUAUUGAAUAUACUGCCCUAGAAAGGCAUACCAACUAAUAAAUGAAUCUCAAAUACUCUGAAAAAGGUAGAUACUAAGAAACAAAGAGAUUGAAAUUGUCCUAUAAAAGAUGCUCAUGUAUAUUAAAAAAGAGAGAUCUUCAGUUCUUGCAGAGAUAUAUGUAUUAGAAAUUUCGAAAGAUCUCAAUUGUGCAUAUAUAUUGAAAAUGAGAAAUAUUUAAUAAAUGUUGGUACUUGGUGCAAGAGAAAAAAUUGAAAUUGACAUUAAAUAUUUGUCAAUAAAAUAUAGUUGUUAUGAUAAAAAAUUUUUAGAAUUCUAAAUUAUAAAAUGUAUAGAUCAUCAAAUUAUAUGAUUGGCCAAAAUUGUAAAAUAUUUAGAUUUGUAGUCCAUACACUAAAUGACGUAAAAUUAAUUAGUAAAAUUUUAUGAAUUUUGGACUUGUAGUCCAUACACCUAAAGUCAUAAAAUUUAUUAAUAAAAUGUAAAUCUGAACUGUAGUAUGUCAAAAUUAAAUUGAAGAAUUUAUCUAAAAUUCGCAAUGAAUAGUCUGCAUAUACUUUAACAGCCUCAACUGCGGAAUCUGCCAAAGCCAAGAACAGAGAAAGAUGAUCGCCAUCACCAAAGCCAUUUCCCAUGGGAUAGAGCCGUAUCUUCCUGAAAAGAAUUUUAUGGAAUUUAAUUGUUCAUUCACUAAAAACUUUGUCCCAAGAACGUAUUUACAUCUAUAAUCUGAUUUAAAAAAAAAAUUUGAAUCUUUGAUACCAUUUGUGAUUUCCAGCACUGAACACUUGUGAUUCCUGACGUCCUUCGCCCAACUUUGAAAAGUUUUCAACCUUCCAAACAUACUUAGAACUAUAUGCAUAUUUUUCCAUGGAUAGGCACUCUCCUUUGACUAUGUUUCUUUCUUUAACAAAGACUUCAGCUCCAAAAAUACAUGUAUCCUCGACAAGGUAUCCAUUUGAAGCAUCGUUGAAAGCUUUAAGCGGGAUGAACUGAUCAAAACCCCAUUCAAGCUUCAAUCCAUUAAACCUUCUUUCCUUUCCCAUGGCAUCUAUCACAUUACAAGCGACCACCGAUUAUGCAAUUGCUUAUCUAAAAGACUAGAACGAGCUUCUGCUGCAAUAUUUUCUGUAAAACUUUAUAUGUACCAGCUAGACUGUAUUUAAUUUGUGAAAUACUGAUGAUCGCACUAGAUAAAAUUUAUAAACAUACGAUAUCGUCAAAAUUGUCAAACAUAGAUCAUUGGAAAAUAUGAUCAAGGUUAGCAUUUCAAAAGUAGAAUAUAAUAUAACCUUGAACCACCAAGUAGUUGUCUUGGUUCUGAUCAAGUAAAAAUAAACGAAAAACUGCAUAGACUUCCCAACCAAGAGUAACCGAACUUGUGUCUGCCACUGCUAAGUAGAGUGAAAUGUGGUCUUGCACAUUCUUGCUCUUAUUUCCAUUUGGAUAUAGAACAAGUUUCCUGCAAUAAUUAAUUGAUCAACAUAAAUACACUAAUUUAUGAUAUUACCAAGCAAAGACUAUGGUUCAAGAGUUAGGUUUGAAUCCUGAUCACAUUAGGGAUGAGGGUUGAGUUGUAGCAUUUUUCUUAUUAUUACUAUAGCUUAAUGGCAACCCAAUUCUCUCCCAUCUUUGUAAAGUAGGUUCGAACCCCAGAUCUCAUGUUUCGGCACAAGAGAUUUUACCCAAUUGAACUAAACGACACUCAACCCACAAGUUGAGGAGUUGUUUGAUUAUAUAUCAAGAUGAAAUAAUAAUAAUGAUGAUGAUAAUAACAAAAGAAAAGGUAGUGGCGUAAGUUAUUUCAUUUACAGCAAUAAAGGAAAAAAAAACUUAUAUAUGUAUAUAUAUACCACUUGUAGCCUCCAGCUUCAAAUGCUCCUGAUUCGUAUUUCUCAUCAACUGCUUUCUCCGCAAGUACUGAAAAUGAUUUUAUUUUGACAAUGUAAUGAGCCGGUGGUACAUGUGAAGUGGAUCUUGCAAUGGCUAUACAUUCAAGUAAUUUUAAUUAACACCCACUGAUUAUAAAUAAAAUAAACUGAAUAUUUUAAGAAUGUUGACCAAAAGAACAUGAAAGGUUUGAACAUACAUACCAUCUUUGUCAACAAAGACACUGUCCAUCUUUGUUAAAUUGUUCAUUUUUUUUUCUUUUUUGGUAAUUAAACUGAAGCCGGAGGCUGUAGACGCUACUUGGACGGUACUGUUUUUGUUGGCAAGGGCAAGGCACAAGGCUCUGCUACCGAUCCUAGGGAAAAAAAUGGACUAUUAUUUAUUAGGGUAACUUUUUUUUUUUUUUUGAAGAUAAGGUAACUUAAAAUUUACUUAAUUAUAUCCUAAAAAAUUAAGAAAAUAAAUUAAAUCCUAACUAAACUGAAAUUACAAAACAGCUCAAAUACGACCAAUUUGACUGAUUAUAAUUUCUAAUAUAAUUUUACCAAAAUAGAAUGAUGACUACUUGCCCCUUGCAUAUUAACAAUGAAAAAGAUCUCUUUGUUUGAUGAAAAUUUGGCAUGAAUUGAAAUUCAAACAUGGGAAAAGUGUUAAUGUAGAAGCGAUGAUACCAGAACAGAACAUAACCGUCCUCCCUAGCAUAUAAUGUCAAACAACAACUACAAAGACAGCUAGCUAGCUCUUCAAAGGUACUGAAGUCCAAAACAUAGCCAUAAUUACUAGUAGCUCACUUAUUGCUAGGGAUGGCAAUGGGCGGGCUCGGGGUGGAGAUCAUGAACCCCAAACCCAAACUGGUAGCAAUCUCCGUACCAUAACCAAAAAACUUUAACUGGGGAUAUCCCUGAUAAUCCCAUUUAUUUAUUUUUUAAAAAAUUGAUAAUUUUGAAUAUUCGGGUCCUUCAAAAAAAAUUAAUUAUUUUGCAUACAUAGCUUUGAAAAAAAAUUAAAAAUGAGCAAAUUAAUAGCGCAAACAACAUUUCAAACGAACGAAUUCAGCUAUCAAGCAUACCCGUAAUUAAUAACAAGAUUAUUUCAACACAAAACGAAUUGAUAAUCAUCCAUCAAGCAUAUCCGUAAUAAUAAAUCCAAUAUCACUGAACAAACUUGUACAAUAAUACCACUUAGUAAUAUUCAACCAAGUUUCAAAGAAUACGGCCUCGUCGCAAGUAAAGGCGCUAAUUUCUAAAAUUACCUUGACUGAUCAAAUGGCAGCUAAGGCGGUGACGGGUGGUUGAGUCCGGUGAGAAAUGAGAGCGCCGGCGAGAAAGGGUUAGCGGCUUGCGGUAAUGCUUGGUCUUUAGGCUAGAGAGGAAAGCGAUGUUAACGGCGCAAUCUUGGACUUUUGGUGUUGGACGCGACGGCCGGAAAGGGGAAGCUCCGUUGACCGUUGGAGACUUGGAGGUGGCGAUGUCUAGCGUUUUGAGAGUGGUGGGUUUCGGUCUGGGUUUUAGACUUUUAGUUUUGUGAUGCCUUUUUUUAUUAUUUGAUUAAACUUAUUCGGAAAGUGCGUCGAGUAAUUUUUUUAUUAAAUUAAAUAUUUUUAAUCGUGUGAAUUCAAAAUAUAUUUUACUUUUAAAAUAAAAAAAUUUGGGUUUCGAAUUCUUGAACCCAAAUGCAAAAUACAUUUGAGACUUGGACUUACUUUUGAAACAGAUCCGUUUUCAGUUUUAAAGCGGUUUGGGUUCAUAUCUGACCCGAAUUAAUCUAAACCAUCCCUACUUAAUACUUUCUUCGUUUCAACUACAUUUUUUUUUUUUUAAAUAUCAAAAUCUUAGAAGAAAAAAGAGGUAAAAGCCCAUUCAAUCUCUAUAUUUUAAAAUUAGUAUUCAUUUAGGCCCUAUAUUUUUUAAAAUAUCUCGAAACAUCCUUACCGUUAAAAUAUUGAUACCCAUACCGUUCCUUUUUAUUUCUUUUAGCUUACUUUUACAAUAUUACCCUUUUAUAAUAAUUUUUUUAUUUGAACAUUAAUAAAAAAUAAUUAAAUUAUCAAUUUAACUAAAAAAAUUAUAUUAAUUUUUAAUUGUCAAAAAUUGUAUGCAAAUUACCAAGCGUGCAAAUGGUACUUGCAAAAAAAUUAAUAUAAUUUUUUUUUUAUUUUUAAGGUUAAAUUAGUAAUUUAAUUAUUAUUUUUUAUUAAUAUCCAAACAAAAAAAUUAUUAUAAAAGGGUAAUAUUGUAAAAAUAAACCAAAAGAAAUAAAAAGUAACAAUAGGGGUAUCAAUACUUUAACGACAAAGAUGUUUCGAGGCAUUUUAAAAAUAUAAGGACUAAAUGGACACUAAUCUUAAAAUACGGGGACUAAAUGAACUUUUACCCAUAAAAGAAUUAGAGUAGGGGAUAUAAGGAAUUUCUCCCUAAAGAGAUGCAGAGAAAUAGAACACCAAAAUAACACUAAAAAGUUAGCUUGACAGCAUAAACAAUAAGCAAUGUAAGAGUUAUUUUGGAAAACCACAAGAGAAAUAAAUUUCCUGAUAGCUAAAAUAAAUUUCCUAGAUUAGCCAGGCAGUCAGCAUCAUACAAUAAAAGAACCCAUUUGGAAGACAAUUAAUUACUUGCUAUAAUGGCUCGGAAAUUCCGAGCACAGUGACCUCAGCUUCCACCACGCAAACGCCAUUCACUAGAAAUCUAGUCUCUGGCUCAUCUAACUCACCCAAUGAAACGAAUCUUGGCCGGCCCCAGUUAUCGCUUGGUGUAUGGAACCAGUCUUUAUUCUCUGCUAGAGUAAAAGGAACAUUCUCGUUAUAUUAAUGGGACUUGCCUCAAAAACUAAUUGCAGGUAAACACAGACAUUUUACCUUGAAAAGAUUUAUGUUUUGCCCCCACUUGAUCUAUGAUUCGCAAUGUAUGCUCUACAUAUAUGCUUUAGUCGCCUCGACUGCGGAAUCUCCCAAAGCCAAGUACAGAGAAAGAUGAUCGCCAUCACCACAGCCGUUUACAAUCUGGAGGAAUGUGCUUCACAAACAAAGAAACAAACAGACACUACCAGAAGCAACUAUGCAGUUACUGGUUCAGAAACACAAAACCUAGAGUCACUGAAAAUGGAUAGAACAAUUACUAUCUUUGAGUAAAGAAGCAAAACAACUAAAACCUAGCUUUGCCAGCUUUUGCGGCACGCAGCCCUUCAGUAAUUAGUGCAUCAAGCUACAGGUCCAUAACUCGCGUGUAUGAAUUUGAAAUUUAGGAGUCCAAUAAUGCAAGCGGUUUGAGUGAGAUAUUAUAACUGAAUUAUUGGCAAUUAAAACUUCAGGAAGUAACGGGUGUCUGAUAAGCUUCUACCUUCACAUUUGCAGCAACCACUGCCUAAUGUCCUUUUGUAGGACUCCAUCAAACCCAUUUCUAUUGUAGUUCAAACUCAACUGAUCAGAUCCAUUUGUCUGAAGAUGCCUAUACUGGGUUAUGGUUCCCGCAGGCCUUGGAUGCCGCAUCAUCAUGGCAAUGGUAGAAAAGGGUAGUUUAGGCCAUAUAUUUUUUGAUGAGCUAAACAGAUGUAAAUCAGAUUCCUUGUUUCUGGAUGUUUGGACUCCAGGAGUUUUUGGAUUGGAAGACUUCAUUCCAUGGUUGGUCAUGUUCAUGCUGGGGCCAUGUGGCAGUUUCUCAGGGGGACCAUGUAUCUGGGCAGAUGGUUUCAUACGGUCAAGCCAACGUAGAAUCCAGUUACCAACAUUUCUACCAACUUCUAUGUCCCUCUGUUGUAUGUUCCUAUGAAACUUGAGAGCAAUAUCAAAGGCAGCACGUACUCAGCUGUGGAAAAAAUCAAUGAAGAAUGAAGGUCAGUCUUCAAAAACAAUGGCAGUUCCAAGUUGGAGUAAUAAAUUUGUUAUUAUGCAAAACAAUUGUAGAAAUAACAGUAUUUGCCAGCUAGUAAUUGACAUAACAGCAGUAGUUAAACAGUAGAAUGGAAUCCAAUGAGCCAACCAGAGGGAAGAAUGCAAAGCUCGGGCAGUACCGUGGUCAGUAUCACACUGAGACUCUAACAGUGGAGGAUGUCCAAUUAUUGGUUUCAUAAUGCAUACUAAAUCAAUUCAAAGUCCAAAGUAUAGAAACAAUUAACUAAUUUAGGAUUUCAAUUUUAUGCAGAGGGUUUCAUGAAUAAUUACAACUGGAUCGGAAAGAUUCUGGAGCAAAAAAAUGUGCCCUGGUAAAUUACUGUCAUGAAGUAAAUAACAUCCUACAAAUAAACAUCAAAAUAUAACGGCUCAUUAAAAAGAAAAGCACAGAAGAACUUUCAAUCUAUCAUUUCAAAACAGUCUCUUUGAACUAAACAAGAGUACAGCUAUGACCUCCAGCUUUGGACGUUAGUACUUGUGCUUCUCCAAAAUCUUCACAUCACCUAAAGAGAGACAGCAAAGGUUUCUCAGGGGGACCACGUAUAUGAGCAGAUGGUUUCAUUUAGUCAAGCCAACGUAGAAUCCAGCAUUUCUACCAACUUCUAUGUCCCUCUCAUGUAUGUUCCUGUGAAACUUGAGAGCAACAUCAAAGGCAGCACGUACUCGGCUGUGGAAAAAAUCAAUGAAGAAUGAAGGUCAGUCUUCAAAAAACAAUGGCAGUUCCAAGUUGGAGGAGUAAUAAAUUUGUUAUUAUUCAAAACAAUUGUAGAAAUAACAGUAUUUGCCAGCUAGUAACUGACAUAACAGCAGUAGUUAAACAGUAGAAUGGAAUCCAAUGAGCCAACCAUUGGGAAGAAUGCAAUGCUCAGGCAGUACCGUGGUCAAUAUCACACUGAGACUCUAAGAGUGGAGGAUGUGCAAUUAUUGGUUUCAUGAGGCAUACUAAAUCAAUUCAAAGUCCAAAGUAUUGAAACAAUUAAUUAAUUUAGGAUUUCCGUUUUAUGCAGAGGCUUUCAUGAAUAAUUACAACUAGAUCAGAAGGAUUCUGGAAAAAAGAUAUGUGCCCUGGUAACUUACUUUCAUGAAGUUAAUAACGUCCUACUAAUAAACAUCAAAAUACAACGGCUCAUUAAAAAGAAAAGCACAGAAGAACUUUCAAUCUAUCAUUUCAAAACAGUCUCUUUGAACUAAACAAGAGUACAGCUAUGACCUCCAGCUUUGGACGUUAGUACUUGUGCUUCUCCAAAAUCUUCACAUCACCUAAAGAGAGACAGCAGUUUAAGAAUUUGCUCAUAAUAAUGAAAUUAGUUCUGGUAUCCGAGCAUUGUAGCUUGAUUGGAUAAUAAGUUCACAGGAAUACAUAUGAGACUCUCUAACUGCUUCACCUACAGGUACUACAAGAAGCUGGCAAACAAGUUGCUUUGACAUCAAGGGUUCAACAUAAUGCCAAAACAGCAAAAAACAUUUUGUUAAAAGUUUGGUAUAGCAAAUCUAAAAGAUAAGUUGAUUCAAAUCCCAUUAUGGUGCCACAGAUAAAACUAGUUGGAGGUUUGCAAAACUUUGCAAUAGAAAUUAGGCACCAAUCUAGUAUGAGAGAACGCAGGUUGCAGUUGCAGAUAUUCAACAAUCAACUGAGUUGAUAGUAACUUCUCUUAAUCUUUUAAGGAUUGGCUUUGCUCCAUAAUUGGUUAAAUCACAAAUUCAGCAACCUAGCCUAUCCAAUAUGUCAUAAGAUCACAGAUUUAGAAGCUGAUUUUAUUAUGAAAUGCACAGGGCCAUUCUAAGUCAGAUAGGAAUGAAUAAUUGCUUUCAGGGAAGAGCUCAGUGGUCUCUCAUAUUGCACAUGAUAUCAAGUCAAUGUGAACUAUUCACAUCAGUUUACAUCCAAGCUGAAGUAGAAGUGCCAGGAUGCACAAUGAACUAGUUGAAGUAGCAAACUAAAGUUUUUCCCUUCAUAUUCCUAUAUAAUUAAGACAGCUAAAAUACAGAUUGGUACUUUGUUAUAGCCGUAUUCAAACACAUAUUUUGACCUCUGUAUAACUAAACUUCAAUGGAGCUCAUUAGAUUGGAAGCAAUAAGUUCAUUGGAAUACCCAAGAUGGGGCACACUCAAACGUAAACAAGCAGAAUACAAUAGGUGCAUCUAGCAAAAACACUUCCAUUUUAAGAGAUGGUCUAACGGCAUGGCACUCAGACAGAAAAUUCAGACCAAGAAUAACAUUUUAUGAACCACCAUCAAAGUAACUUUUCAAAGAGAGGAUUAAUACAUAGGCAAAGACCAGCUAUCAUUAUUGUGGACACAUAGUCUAAGACAAUCCCAUGCCGUAGGAUGCGUGGCUGCAAUAUAUUGAACUCAGAUUUGACAAAAUCAACUCCACACAAUCCAUCAAAAUCCCAUUGAAGAAGCAUAAGAAGGUAGAAAUUUCAGCUGAAAAGUGUUUGAAGAAAGAGAAAUAGAAGAGAGAACAGUAAAAUAGGUAGUGAGAAGAGAGAAUACAAGGGAAGAGCAAGGAGAAAUUCUAUGAAUCAUUGACCCCAAAAGAAAACCAAAAUCCAUGCAAUGCCUCCCAAAAGAGCAUACGCUUUUAUGGUUUUUGACAGCAUAGGAUUGCUCCCUAAGGAAAUAUAUAAGUACAUAGAAGAUGCCACAAAGAAAGCUCACGUCUGUUGCUUCCUAUAUAGUUACUCCAUGGUUAAGUUCACACAACACUAGUUUCUAUAAGGUAAACCUGGCUUACUUUCACUGCAAUAUAUGAUAUGAGUAGACAACAACACAUAUAUCUGGAUAAACUUUUGAAAUCAGGUUUUCAGGAUCUUUUACAAAUUUGUAAUUUUAUUUACUUCACCCUCUCCCUAUUCUUAGAAAACCUAAAAUUUUGGCUCCUUCUGUCCGUUGCCUUUGCUAAUAAGCCGUUCUCUGUCUAGCCAAGCUGGUAGUAAGCCACAUUAUUACUCCAAGGAAUCAAUUCCUACCACAAUAAAACUACAUUACUCUCCUCUGCUUUCUUACAUUAGAUCUUUAGCAAGCAUCAAUAACCAACUUCCAAAUAACAAACACAACCAUACAGUUAAAUCAAAUUACCAAAAUCAAUUUCGAAAAAUAUCAUAAAAUCGUGAAACAAAGAACAUUGCAUUGCAAUGUAUUGUUAGUAUACCCAUAUCAGUAUCAUACAUAUCAUUAUCAACACCACCACCACCAUCAUCAUUAUCAUCAUAAUCCUCUUUUGACUCUAAAAUCACCAGCUCUUAUUGUCUUAACGAGCAUAGCUACAGAACCCAUUAAUGAAAAUUAAAACUUGAACUACCUAGCUUAAUCAAUAAAUACACUUCAAAAUGCCCAUUCCCAAUCUGUGACUCAUCCGCUAAUAACCCUAUUGAUAGCUGACCCAUCAAGCUACAAAUUAAUCAGAAUCAAACUCAAAACAAAGUAAUUAAAUAAUAAUAAUAAUAAUAAAACAACACAAAUAUACCGGUGAACAAAUUGACGAAUCCGAGGGUGCUUAGGGCUGAUAACGCGACGCUGAAUCCUCAAAGCAAGCCUGUAAGUCCGCUUCAGUCCCAAGAAAUACGCUGUUCCCAAUGUGAUCUCCCACAGCACCAUUCUCUCUCUUGCUAGAACUCUCUCUCUCUCUCUCACUCUCUCUGAGUCUCUCUCUGUGAGUGUAUUUAUGCACUUCUUUUUUCUAGUUUUAUGUUUAUUUAUUUUGUAUAUUUUUUUAUUAUAUUUUGACGUUUCUUUUCUCCCGAGUUAAAUCUAUGGAUUCUUUGAUUCAAGUCGCCAGAAAGUUCGAUCUUCGUUGCCCAUCACGCUUCGGUCUUGAGUGUUCAACUGUUUAUUCUGUGAGCUUCUGGAAAUUCUGAGGAAUUUAAAUUUUGCACCGAAUACAAAACAUGUGAUGAAAAGUCUAAAAUGCCCUUAUAUUGGAACGGCCAUAUGCACGCCUCUCGGCCUCUGCCUACAGUCCUACACCCAUUACAUAUGGUUGCGCGACCUUUUCUCAAGGUGACAACCAGUCUCGACCUCAAUGGUUACGUAAUUGUGGUACUCAUAUUCCUUCUCGAUCUACGUUUGGUUUUAUUUAAUUAAUUUUUUAAUUGCUCGAAUAUUAUCGAAAAUAUACAGAUUAUGAUUCGACAAUUUUUUAAUUAUUCCAUGACCAUCUAACUAUAAUUAAGCAAUUUAUCUACGUAUUAUAACUAGCAAGGAAUUAAAUUAAAAAAGUCUGUAACUUUUUUUUUUUAAAAAAAGAAAAAAUAACAAAAAAUUGAGAGAGAGAUAUAGCGGGAAAAAAAAAAGGUAUUUAGGUACUUAAGUUGUGUUGUUAUAUUGGAUGAAUGUAUUUCAUAGUAUUUUUUAUGGCAUUUUUAAAAUUUAAAAAAAAUAAUAAUAGAAAAAAAGCCCUCUACAUCUCUUCCAGGUUGAAAUUACCUAGUUAAAUAGAGAAUUUUAUUUUUUAAAAUAAAAAUUACGCCGCCGUUGACCGGCGUUAUCGAUGAUGAUCGCCAUCUUUUAUCGUGUUAAAUACAUAAUAAUGAUAAAAAAAAAUAGACGAUUUACUCAUUGGAAGUGUUAAUUUUGCAUAAAAUACACUAUAUAGUUGGAAAUAUGGGAGUUAAAAUAUUCCCAAAUAUUUAAAUAAGAUUUGAGGUAAAUAACAAUGUAUAUUAGCAUUUCUAACUCCAUAGAGUUGUAGAUCGGCUCACAAGGAUUCCAUUGGUACAUGUUUUGAUAGUGAAAUGCAUCUCCAACGAGUCUUCAGUGACGGUCUGGCGAUUCAACUUAGUGCUUUUUCUUUUUUCAAAUAAAUUAUCCUCUUAAGUUAAGAAAAUAAAUAUUAAUUAUUUGCACUUUAACUUAUUUAAAAUUAAUUUUAUUAGAGAAUAAUAAUGGAAUUUUUGUAUUCCAAUAGAUGAGAAAUUCGAAAUCCUUACCCAUUGAUAAGGAAUACAAAUUCUUCAAUAUGAUGGAAAUUUAAUUUUAAUGAAAAUUCAAUUCUAUUGAAUUUGGUCCAACCAAAUAGUGGAAAGUGAAAAAGAAAUCAAAUUCUUUUCCUCUCCCCACUCCUCUACCCCCAAGCAAACAUGGCCUAAGUGUUAAUUUUCAGAUGAGGCAUUUAAUUAAUUAGAUGAUAUGAGUAAAGAUAUUAACAAACAAAUCAUUUUCAUAUGAUAGAAUUUCUUUUGCAUCAACUAUAUCACACCUGUGUAUUUUUGGACCCUAAUUAGAUAUAAUUAUCCUCAAGUUUGGACGUCUGUCUGAUCAUAGCUUAAAUCCAAACUUGGUAGGGACGUUUGGACCGAAGCACCAUUUCAAAGAACAUACCAACUUGUUUUUCCAUUGCAACAAUUUCCUCCAAAUUACUAUAAUUCUUCAAGUACCUAAACUAGUACCGAAGAAAGUUGAUUAUAAUAAGAUUUUUCUAGGGUUAGAGUUCUCUCGAGAGUAAUAUUUUUCCUUUAAAAUAUCUAAAAGGGACCAUGGUAUAUAGAAGCAUAUCAAGGUUAAGGGUUUAUACAAUUUAAGAGUAAAUUUUCAGAAAGAGUCAAAAUGACUAUUGAUAUUUAUCAAAUUUUGGAAACUGAUGGUUGCAAGAAUGGAAUGGAAAGCUAAGGGUAAAGAAAAGGGGAAUAUAAUGGGGAAAGGAAUAUUGAUUUCUUUAAAUUGUUUGGUUUGGUCAAGGAAUAUUGAUUCUUUCGUUUGGUUACAAAAAUGGAAUGGCAAGGGGAAAGAAAACAACUAUAAUGCAAAUGAAUAAAAAUAUCCUCCACUAGAAAAUGUAUAUUUCAUCGAGUUGAAGCAAUAUCUUAGUUGUUUUGUUUUUUACUACCAAAUAUUAUAUAAUUAACUUGCAAAAGUUAGGUUCAAUUACGUAUUGUGGUUGAGCAGCACUUAAGUGUUUGUUAAAUUUCUUUUUUUAUGUGAUUUGAGAGUUAAGUUUUUUUUUCUCUUAUUUAUAUAAAGGCAUACUUUCAUAUAUGAUAAUUAAGUGCAAGAUUGUGUAAAACACACCCAAGAUUUUAUUUUUAAAAGGGGCUGACACUAAAUUAGGUCUUCUGCUCUAACCCCUACCUUAGAUCUCCCAAAUCCUGCUUUAGAGGACCCCAUCUCUUUCUUCACAAAUUUGGCAAAUUCGUUGCCAAUUGCAAUUGCAUCCAGUUUAGACAUUUUCCCUGAAUGACACUUUAUUAAAACAUCCUUGGAAAAGUAUUUGGAUGCAUAUCCCAACAUUUUAGGAUGAUUUAAUUUUACUAAAUUAAUUAAAAAGUAAGGGGAAUAAAUGAUUUUUUCUGGACUAGAGCCCAGUCUAACCCACGUGUGGGUCUGCCACUAAGUUUACUAGUUGCGACUAUAAAGCGAAAUACAAAGAGGACAAAAGCAAUAGUGAAUUAGAUAUCUCAUGCUAAACCCAUAAGGCGGCAUCCGCAUGUAAUCUCCAUGUGGAGACUUAAGAGCCAAUUAACCACCAAUUAUCGAGCGUCAGCAACUGAAUUUCUUUGCCAAAAGAGGUGGGUCCAAUGAGAUCAACUCUUAUUAUAAGAUAUAAAAUUAAAAAUUGGCAUCCCAAUUUUCUUGCAAGAGUCACAAUGCUUAUUAGAAUAUAUAUUACAGGGCUUUGGAAAUUCCAAGCACAGGCAUCUCUGCUUCCACAAUACACACAUCAUUCACAAGAAAACCAUUUCCUGCCUUGUUCAGGUAAUUGAGUUCAACAAAAUUUGUCCAACCCCCAAAUUUAUUUGAGGUAUUUAACCAUUCUCCAGCUGCGAACACGACAAUAGAAACCUUGAGUUAUUUGCAUUUAGCUACAAAACUUAUUGAACUGAAUUACCUGUUAAAGUCUGGGUUUAUAAUAAUUUACCUUUUUUUUCAUAAUGCUUUGACAGCAAUUGAUUCCGGAUUCGCAGUGUAAAAUGCACGUAUAUUUUAGAACCACCAGUUAUAGUUGACAAGUCAGUCAAUACCAAGUACAUAGAAAUAUGACUGCCACUAGCUUCUCCCAGUCCUUUGGGAAAGAGUAGUAUCUUCCUGAAGAAAAAUCAAGGGUAAAGUUUAAGUCUCUGCAUUCAAUUGUAUGUAUUAUCAAUACAUUAACUUUCAGAUGUGGCAUUUAGAUUAUUUAUAUGAAUAGAGAAACAAACAAAUUUUAACAAUUCAUUUUACAUUAUACAUUUGAAGAAGUGGUUUUAACAUGAUACAUCUUUUUAACAAGUUGUAUUAUUCAAAACUCAAAAGAAUUUCUUUUGCAUCAGAAAUCUAUUGCAGAGGUACAAAUGAACCUUAAAGUGUUAGCCAUGCUAGGGUCUAGAUUUAGUCUAUGAUAUAUUAGAGUUUAAAUUGCUGUUAAAUGUAGAACUUUGAUCAUAUUUUAAAUCCGAAUUUUAUGAACUCCGAAUGUUCGGAUUUGAACACCAUUUCAGAAAGUAUACAUACCACUUUUGAUCUCCAGCAACGAAUACUUCUGAUUCGUAAAUAUUGUCCGGUAACUUUGAAAAGUUCUUGAUCUUCCAAACAUGCUUAUAAUUGGAGGCAGAUGUCAAUUUCUUCAUGGAAAGGCACUCUCCUGUGCAUUUUUUCGUUUCUUUAACAAAUACUUCUGCUCCAAAAACACACGUAUCUCCCAUAAGAUAUCCAUUCGAAGCAUUAAUAAAUUCUUCAAGCGGGAUGAAUUGAUCAAAACCCCAUUCAAGCUUUAAUCCAUGAAAACGUCUUUGUUUACCCAUGGCAUCUAUCACAUGAAGGUGACCGGCCCAAAUCAUUGGUCAGGUCUCACUUAAAUAAUUCAACACAAAACAAUCAUAAACAUUAUUGAGUGUUUGAGUGUAAUAACUAACCUUGAAGAAUCAAGAACUCGUCUUUCUUCUGAUCAAGCACAAAUAGGCGGAAAAUCACAUAGACUUCCCAACCAAGGCCAAGUGAACUUGUGUCUACCAUAGCCAAGUAGAUUGAGAUGUGGUCUUUCACAUUUUCAUUUUUAUUUCCAUUUGGGUAGACAACAAGUUUCCUGAAACCAUCAUGAAUUCAAAAUAACAUAUUAGAUUAUGAUAUGUAAUUUAGUAAUAAGGUGAUCUGAAUAUAGUGGAGUAUCAAGGAGAAUAAUGGAAGAGAUUGCUGUCCGUAACUUAUGGAGAGUAUCAUGGAGCUUGAGAUUAUCUGAUAAAGGGGAGCUGAGAAAGAGUCAGAGAACAUACCAACUUGGUCUACAAAGUCAUUUUCCAUUGCAGCAAAUUCCUCCAAACUAUUAUAAAUCUUCAAGUACUAAAACUAGUACUAAAGAAAGAUUGAUUAUAAUAAGAUUUUUCAAGGGUUAGAGUAUUCUCUCAAGAGUAAUAGUUGUUCUUUAAAAUAUCUAAAAUGGACCAUGGUAUAUAUAAAGCACCAAGGUUGAGGGUUUAUACAAUUCAACAUUAAAUUUUCAGAAAGAGUCAGAAUAACUAUUGAUAUUCGCCAAGUUUUGGAAACUGAUGGUUGCAAGAAUGGAAUAGAAAGGGGAAUGCAAUGGGGAGAAGGGAUAUUGAUUCUUUAAUUUGUUUGGUUUGGUCAAGGAAUAUUGAUUUCUUUGCUUGGUUGCAAGAAUGGAUGGUAAGGGGCAAGAAAACAACUACAGUGCAAAUGAACAAGAAUAUGUACCCUCCACUCAAAAAACGUGUAUUUCGACGAGCUGAAGCAAUAUUUUAGUUGUCUAUUUUCUAUUAUCAACUAAUAUAUAAUUAGCUUCCAAAAUUUAAGCCCGAUUUAGGACUAUGUUUCAGCAGCACUUAAGUGUUCUGUAAAUACUUAUUGAUUUAAAUUCAUUUUAUUUUACACUCGUAAGAUAAAAAAAAGUCUAUAGUACCUUACCUAUUGCGACUGGCAGAAUACAGAGAGAAAAAAAAAAGCAACAAUAAAUAAGAUAUCGCAGGCUAAACUCAUAAGAAGGCAUCCCCAUGUAGUCUCCAUGUGGAGACUUAACAACCAAUUAACCGCCAAUUAUCGAGCGGCAACAAUUGAAUUUCUUUGUCAAAAUAUAUAGGUACGAUGAGAUUAACUCUUAUUAUAAGAAAUACAAUUAAAAAACUUGGCAUCCCAAUUUUCUUGCAAGAGUAGCAAUGCUUAUUAGAGUAUAUUACAGGGCUUUGGAAAUUCUAAGCACAGACACCUCUGCUUCAGCAUUGCACACAUCGUUCACAAGAAAACCAUUGCUUGCCUUAUUCAAGUAACUGAGUUCAACAAAUUAGUGCCAGCCCCAAUCUUUAAUUGAGUUCCUAAACCAUGUGCUGGCUGCAGGAACAACAAUAGAAACCUGAAGUCACUACUAGAAAAAUGGCUUUUACUGACACUCCUCUUCUGACACUUUUCUAAAAAGUAUCAGUAGUUACAUAUAUUUGGGUCAUUUUCCGUGUUUAACAGACAAGUUCACAAGUUACUAAUUCUAUGGUGUUUGUAGAUUAAACAUAAGAGAUUAUCGACACUAUGGUAUCAGAAAUAACAACAAAAAAGUCUAUUUUUGUUUUAAUUGCUACUCGAACCUAAGACCUCAAAACUGGAGUGCUUUAUGUUCAAACAACAAACCACCAGGCCAAAUUCGUAUUUUAGUUUAUGUUGAAAAUGUUCAAAUUAUCAUAUUAAAAUAACAACAAUAUAAAGCAAAAGCAAAAAACCCUAAAAUCAACAUAAACAUAAAAUUCUCUAACUUCUAAUUCUAUGGCCAGCCGCCUCAUCUCUCUGGCAAGAUCCUUCUUCUUCUUCGUACCUCUAAAAAUUCUCCCCUUCGAGCCCUAAAAUUCAAGGGUCCAUGCCAUGGGAAAUCCUAACAACAUUGCUCAAAUUCUAAGACCCAUACCAUACGAAACCCUAACGAGCUACAUGAGGUUGCGAAACAUCCACCAUGCCACUA